AUGGUGGUUUUGGUUUUGGGGAGAGAAAUGAAGAGGUAGCUGCUCUAUUGGAUUUUGCGAGGUCCUUUGGGCUGGUGGUGGUGAAUUCGAGCUUUCCGAAGAAGGACGAUCACCUGAUCACCUUCCGAAGCGCGAUCGCCAAGACCCAAAUUGACUUUUUGCUGCUUAGGAAAGAGGAUAGGGUGAUGUGUAAGGACUAUAAGGUCAUCCCGAGUGAGAAUUUUUCAACCCUGCAUAGGCUCUUAGUGAUGGACUUGGGUAUAAAGAAGGAUCAGAAAAGAAGGGGAGAGGAGGGUCGACCUAGAAUUAAGUGGGGCGGCUUGACGCCGAUGAAUUCGCGGGAGAUAGGGGAGAAGGUGGCAGGAAUGGGGGUGGGAGUGUAGGGGGGGACGCGGAUAGUAUGUGGGAUAGAGUGGCUAGGUGCAUAAGGGAGAAUGCUAAUGAGGUGUUGGGUGUUUCCAGGGGCCGAGCUGGGCAUCAUCGACCAUCGGGGGGAUUGGUGGUGGAAUGAAGAAGUUAAGAAGAAAGUGGAGACUAUGAAAGGGGCGUAUGCUAAGUUGGUUGAGAGUAAGGAUGAAGAAGAGUAACGGGUAAACAGGAAAGAGUACAAGUUAACUAGGAAGAAGGCUAAAUUAGCAGUGAUGACAGCUAAGACGACAGCGUUUGAGAGUUUGUAUGUGGGGUUGGAGGAGAAAGGAGGGGAAAAGAGGUUGUUUAGGCUCGCUAAGGCUAGGGAGAGAAAGGGUCGUAACCUCGAUCAGGUGAAGUGCAUUAAGGGGAGGAUGGUAGAAUGUUGGUGGAGGACGGUCACAUUAAGAAAAGAUGGCAGUCGUAUUUCCAUAGGCUCUUGAAUGAUGAAGGGGAUAGAGCUAUUGUGUUAGGGGAGCUGGAGCACUCAAAGGAGUGUCGGGAUUUUCGUUAUUGUAGACGUUUUAAAGUGGAGGAGGUUAGAGAGACUGUUCGCAGGAUGCGAAGGGGUAGGGCAACGGGCCUGAUGAGAUUUGUGGAUUUUUGGAAGUUUUCUGGCGAGGCUGGGUUAAGGUGGUUGACUGGAUUGUUUAACGGCAUUUUCAAGACGGCGAAAAUGCCCGAGGCUUGGAGAUAGAGCACUAUGAUCCCUCUAUAUAAGAACAAGGGUGACAUUCAGAGUUCCAACAACUUUAGGGGUAUUAAGUUAUUGAGUCACACUAUGAAGAUUUGGGAGAGUGGUCGAGGUGAGGUUGAGAAGGAUAGUGUCUAUUUUGGAGAAUCAUUUUGGAUUUAUGCCCGGGCGCUCGACGACGGAGGCAAUUCACCUAGUGCAGAGGAUGGUGGAACAGUAUAGGAAAAGGAAGAAGGAUCUGCACAUGGUGUUUAUCGACUUGAAAAAGGCGUACGACAAAGUCCUAGGGAGGUUCUUUGGAGAUGCUUGGAGGUGAGUGGGUCCCGGUGGCGUAUAGCAAAGCAAUCAAAGACAUGUAUGAUGGAGCUAAGACCCAAGUGAGGACGGCGGGAGGAGAUUCAGAGCAUUUCCCUGUCUUGACAGGUUUGCAUUAGGGAUCUACUCUUAGCCCGUUUUUGUUUGCUUUGGUGAUGGAUGUGUUGACGCGGCGUAUCCAAGGAGAGGUGCCUUGGUGUAUGUUUUUGCAGAUGAUGUAGUUUUGAUUGAUGAGACGAGAGGGGGUGUGAAUGAUAAAUUAGAGGUAUGAAAAUAGACUCUUGAGUCCAAAGGGUUCAGGUUGAGUAGGAGCAAGUAGAAUAUUUGGAAUGCAAGUUUAGAGAACGAGGUGGUAGUAAGGUUGGAUUCACAGGUGGUGUGUAAGAGGGACAGUUUCAAGUAUCUCGGGUCUAUAAUUCAGGGGAACAGUAAGAUUGACGAGGAUGUCUCACAUCGUAUUGGGGUGGGAUGGAUGAAGUGGAAGCUCGCAUCGGGGGUGUUGUAUGACAAGAAGAUGUUGCCCAAGCUUAAAGGCAAAUUCUACAGGGUGGCAGUCCGUCCGACCAUGUUGUAUGGAGCGGAGUGUUGGCCGGUCAAGAACUCCCACAUUCAAAAAAUGAAGGUGGCGGAAAUGCGGAUGUUGCUUUGGAUGUGUGGGCUAACUAGGGGUGAUAGAGUUCGGAAUGAUACUAUCCAGGAGAAGGUUAGAGUGACUUUGGUGGAGGACAAAAUGCGGGAAGUCCGACUGAGAUGGUUCGGACACGUGAUGAGAAGGAGCACGGAUGCCCCGAAUGCCCCGGUUCGUAGGUGUAAGAGGCUAGCUUUGGAUGGUUUUAGGUGGGGUAGGGGUAGGCCGAAGAAGUACUGGAAAGAGGUGAUUAGGCGGGACAUGGAGCAGUUACAGCUUACUGAGGACAUGACCCUAAAUAGGAUGAUCUGGAGAACGCGAAUUAGGAUAGAAUUAGGAUAGAAGGCUAGUGUCAGUUUGGGUCGCUAGUGUAGGAUAUUACUUGGUGGGUAUAUUAUUCUUGUUAAGACACCUUAUUUCAUGUUCUAUUAUGAUUUCAUUUACUUUUCUUUAGUUACUAUUACUUGUGGGUGUCGUAUUUAUGUUAUGUCAUCUUGUUCCAUGCUUUAUUAUGGAUUUGAUUAUUAUUCCUUGUCUUGAGCCGGGGGUCUAUCGGAAACAGCCUUUCUACUUCUUCGGAGGUAGUGGUAUGGACUGCGUACAUCUUACCCUCCCCAGACCCCACUAUGUGGGAAUACACUGGGUUUGUUGUUGUUGUAAGUAAUCAAUUGACCAAGUAACCUUCGAGCACCUGCAUUUUUCUUCUGGUUGCAAAACUAUCUCAGCAAUCAGCAACUGUCAGCAUCCAUGAUAUAUCAAAAAAAUAAUAAUCAUAUGACUAUGAAACAGUAAAUCUCCAAGUGCUAAAAUGAUAAAAUUAGGCAUGACAACUCCUCAAGAGCUAAGUUGCACGGACUCUUCACUUUCGGUGCCGCACCCGUGUCGGAUUUUCCAAAAAAACACUACUUUUGGAGAAACUGAANNNNNNNNNNNNNNNNNNNNNNNNNNNNNNNNNNNNNNNNNNNNNNNNNNNNNNNNNNNUUCAAAGUGAAGUAGAAUAGAUGCCUGAUAUGCAAUGCACAGCGAAAUCCAACAUAUGUAAUGACUACAUCAAAAGAACCCACUCAAAUAAAUAUGAUCAAAUCUCAGGUCAUAAUCAAUUUUAUCUGAAAUAGAGGGCUCACAUAUGCAUUACCUUCCACUCUUCAAAAAUGCCAAACUGCCGUGCGAUAUCUUCAAAGUUUAGUUGAUCUCUGUACUGAAUACGCACAUCACCAUCUAUGUUAAACGCUUUCAAAAUAGCAUCAGCUCCGUGGAUGGGCUUAGCCUUUUUAACCAAGUCACCAAAAUGUUUCAUGUAGUUGUCCUGAGAACAUGAAACCACAAGUAACAUACGCGAGAGGAUUUAAAUCACAAACUUCUCACUCAAUAAUCUAAUAAUGUGAUAGCAUUCCUAAGUUCUUUAAUCUUCAGCAUUGUAAUAAUCCUUAAGUCAUUACCUCCAAAAGGUAACUAAGAUCCAUUGACUUCCAAUCAACCUUCAAACAAAAUUCCAGGGUAAAAUACAUGUCAUACAAAUGGAAAGGAUGAGUAGACAAGAAAAAAGGGGUAUGGCAAUGAAAUGACACAAGGGAGCUAGUAACAUGCCUGGACAUCAUUUAGCUUAAUUGGCUCAAGAUAUUGCUUGAAAAACUGCCCCAAACUAGAACCCUGUAAAUAAAAAAAGAUUGUUGGCAAGGUUUAGGAGAAGUGUUUUUGAUGAAGGUUUAAUAUUAAAAGGAUAAAAAAGACGUACAAAAGCACUGUACAUGUGCAGCUAUAAAAGACGAUUGAGAGCCCUAUUACGAAAGUCCUAAGCUAGAGACAGGGAGCUAACAGAAUUCAACACAGACUCGGGAGCUAAUAGGGGAGAGAUUGCUCCAACUCCAAUUACUUAAAGAUAUAAAACAUUUAGCUUCCACUCCAAACCACCAAAACACCUUUUGCUUCUUUCUGUCCUAAUGGUCCAAAAAAUGCAUCCAGGAAUCAUCUUCCCGAUCAUCCGAAUGGAUUUACCAAUUUUCCAUAAACUCAGACUGCUGAAGACAGCUUCAAUGCAGUGUUAACAAAGGCGCGCUUAAAGCACGCUUAAGACCUAAAGCGAGGCUCAGAACGUGUUGAGCGCUUCACUAUCGUCAUCAAGUUUCUAGGGUAUGCUUUUCCUUGCCAACGAGUUUCUUCAGAAGAGGCGACACUAAACAAUUGAUAUUUCACUUUAUUGUAAUUGUUUUUCAAUUUCUUUGUUCAUAUUUGUCAUUCAAGUUUUUCUCCCUUUGCGCCAUUUGUCAUUGAAGCCCAUUAUAUGCGUUUUGCGCUUUAAGCCCGAACAAACCUUUGAGCUUUUUUGCGCUUUUCGCUUUUGAUAACACUGCUUCAAUGCUUUCUGGUAAUACCCAACUGAGUCCAAAAAUAGGGGGAAAAAAUGCUCCGGAUGUCUGAAGUUACUGUACAAUGGAGGAAAAAGUGUCUACUUUUUCAAUGUGCUGAUGGCACAUAUAGCAUUUGUUAACUAAGUGAAAGAACCUCCUGCACAGGUCAUCUUGAGUGAGGCCGGCUUCAUUUAGAGCAGUCCAACUGAGGCAGAUGAUUUUAGGGGUAGUUCUGUUCUCCAGAUAAGUUUCCACGGCCAAUCAUCCAACAUUUCAUUUUGACUGAUGUUGUUAAGGUAACCUGUCUUGACAGUAUAAACUCCAUUUGGGCCUGUUACCCAGAUGAAUCUGUCUGAAAGUUGCUCACUUACCAUACAGUUUCCCAAUCUGCCUAGGAAGUCGAGCAUUUCCCUGAAGAUUGGAUUCCAAGAAUUGGCUUCCAUAUACAGAGAGAUAGUAGGGUUAGGUAUUCUGAGAUUGGAUUCCAAGAAUUGGCUUCUAUAUUCUGAGAGAUGGUACAGUUAGGUAUUCUAGCAAUUUGAUAAAUGUUAGGGUAUUCAGAUUGCAAGGUUGAAGAGCCUAGCCAUCUAUCUUCCAAAAACUUAACCUUUGCCCCAUUCCCAACUUGAAAUCUAUUGUUCUGGCUGAACUUGCCCCAAAGCUUGAUGAUGUUCUUCCAAGCGCCUACCGCAGGUGGGGAGCCCUGGAGACCUUAGUGCACCAGUUAUUGUGUAUCCUAUGAUUUGCAUCCACCACUCUUUUCCAGGUUGGCUGAUCCAGUGUUAUCAAAGGCGUGCUACUCUAAACAAGUGAUAUUUCAUUUUAUCGUAAUUCUUUUUUUCAAUCCUUUGUUUAUAUACUUGUCAUUCAUGCUUACAAAUAUUAGACUUGAACUUAACAUGUAUAUUUCUAGUUUUUCAUUAAAUCCCACGCUUUAUUUGCAUUUAAAGCCCCAGUGGACCUUAGAGCCUUUUGCGCUUUUUGCUAUUGAUAACACUGGGCUGAUCCUCUUCUACAUACCUCCAUAGCCAUUUCAUGAGUAAACGCAUGUUGUGAAGAGUAAGGGGUUGGUUCUUGAUGCCCAAGCCUCCCAAUCAUUUAGGCAGUUUAGUUUCUCGCAUAUUACCAGAUGAAACUUGUAAAUGAGUGCUGUUACCUGCCCACAGGAAGUUCGUUCUAAUUCUUUCCAUCUUCUUUUGAAUCCUUAAGGGGGUUAGGGAGAAGUGCCAUUUAUGCAUGAGGGAAUACUGUCAAGAGAGUUGUUGAUGAGAGUGAGCCUACCGCCCAUUGACAAAUACUGCAUUUGCCAUGUGGCUAACUUCUUUACAAAUUUCUCCACCAAUCCAUUCCAAUUUUUUUUAGAUCUGUGUUAGCAACCGCGAUGGGUUGUUAGGAAGGAACCUAUCUCACAGCAAAGAAUUCCACCCAACAGAUCCAGAUUUUGCACUUUAUUGAUAAUUCUCCUUAAUAUGUCGAUGUGGAGGCCAUAAAGAGCUUCAAACAUUUGAAGUGUCAAAUUCAAAUAUAACACCUGAAACACUUCUGCUCCACAGAAGAUCGAAGUGUCAUCUGCAUAUAACAGAUGAGAGAUAGUCACUGUAUUCCCUGUAGUGGUGGUGCCAAUUUCAAAACCUUGAAUCCAUUACAACUCCUUGGCUUUAUUUAAAUCUUGCUCAAGCCUGCCAAACAAGUUGGUGUUGGCUAUAUGAAUCCCCACUUCUUUAUUAAGAUGGUGGAAAUUGAUAAAUUUUCCAUCUUUAUCACUAUCUGUUUCAGAAGGUAAAACAGCUCAAGAAAGGAUGAACAGCAAUGAGAAACAUUUUUUUCUUGAUAAUAUCAAAAUGAGUAAGAACAGCAAUAUCACACCAUUGAAGACAAAAAUUCAGGUUCAACUACACUUACUUAACCAAAGUCAUCCAGCACUGAUUUAAAGGAGGACUUUAUAUACAUACAUGCUCACCAAAGUUGUAUGUUCUGCAAACUUCUGGGCGAAUAAAUUGUCGACCGCUGUGAUUUUCUUUGAGUCUUAGCCAGUCAUCCCAGUAAGUAAAAGUAAGGUCAAAGAAAAUCUUUGAAGGUUCCAAAGAGCAGUUAAUUUAUGCAAGAAAUAAGCACAUCAGUUUGAAAGGAUAUGCCUUUGGCCACUUUGGAGAUAGUUCGGCCCAAGUUGAUUUUGAAAGCAUCCAUCCAAGACCAGGAAAAAAAUCUGAGCGGUAAAGAGCAUCUGCAGUGUAAGAUACGAAGCAUUUCAGUGAGAUUAGAAAAGAAAAGCUCUGCUAAAAAACACCUACAAAGAUCAAUACAUUCCACAACAUCGAGCAGAAAUGGGAUUAACCUCCAUGGAGGAUACACUUUUGAUCAGCUCAACAAUGACAUAAAUGGGUAAAAAGAAGUUAAUUUUAGUUUUUUCUUUCACAGUCCAAAAUAUUCAAUUGAAGCCACAUCUUUUCCCUUUUGUUCUCAUUCAACCCUCUCCCCUAUAGAUCCUGUUUUGGAGCACUAAGGCUCGAAAGGUGUAUACAGAAAGUCUUGUAUUGGCUUUCAAUCAUUCAUCAUUAUCCCACCAUUAUUGCAUAGAAAGGACUACGGAGUCCUGAAAAGAGUGUCGUGGAUUUCUCUAACGACAAUCUUAGACAUAAAAUAUUUGUGUUUGUACUAAAAUAUUCAUCAUAUGAAUGCUUUAUAUACAUAUACAUAGAAAAAUAAUUGGAUCUUAUCAGUUCAAGAUCCUAUUUCCCUACUGCUGUUUUAGGACUUUCCAAGGAAUCAGAAACAAAAUGGACGUAUAACCAUUCAACAGAACAGAAAAAAGAUACCAGCUGCUCUAAGUAGAGUGUGUAGGUUUCUUUAUUGAAUUACGACCAAUAAACUUUUCUAAUGAAAUGGGAAAAGAGUUCAAAAAAAAAAUCAUAACCACCAAUUCAAAGGAGGAAAAAAGAAGGAAGAAAGAUGUAACUUACAAGGAUCUUGGACGAACUGCCUUUGUCCAUUGUCAUUCCAAGAAGAAACAGCCAUAAUCGACCUGGGAUGUUCACCACAAGGAUGUAAGAAAUGUUAUACUUGGGACAUCCAGAACAGGCAUUCUGCAUGUGUCAUCCCAUGUUUUAGGCCAAGUCCCAUUUUUGUUCGUUCACUAUCCCACUUAGCAUAUUUGGCCACUAGUUUAUGCAAGGAGAAGUUUUUAGUCCUUGUGCUAAGAAUGUUAUAUUAUCAAAAUGGAUAUUUAUCCCCCUCGCUCCACCAGAUUUUCUCUCACCACAAGCCUGGGAGAGCAAGAGAUCUUGGAUGGCUGCUGAAUCAGAUCUAAUUGUGUUGGUUCUUUAAAGAAAAUGGAUCCAAAAGGUGAACGGGAAGUUGGCCAACAAGAGGGAAAAAAAUAGAUUCCUGAUACAAGGAUGAAUUGAACAAUUCUUUGAAAGUAAAGCAUGGCAAAUCUGGAUCCUUUGAGAAUGCCUUACUUGUCUCUGUCAAGAAGAGUAGCUCCAGCCUCAAAAUAGGCAAAAAAAUCAACGGCAAUUUCCAUAUCAUCUGCACGUCAGACGGACAAUUAUUGUGAGAUGAAAAAAGUGCAGAGAAUAUGUAACUAAGUAAUUAAGAUAGAUCAGCAGCAGUACCUUCUAGUAUGAUAACACGACUAAAAUUAUGCUUGUGAAACAGCUGAUCCAGUGCCCACUUUGAAUGGUCUAAGGAAAGAGGGGUCCAAUGGUUAAUGCAAGACUAACACUAGUUGAAAUAAAAAUGAGCAAAGGAAAAAGAUAAAAACAUCCUUACGUGCAAUUUUGUAGUAUGCAAUCAGCUCCCCUGGUCUUUCAGUAUGCACAGGUUCAAAAUCCAAGUGCUGUCAAUAAAGAAUUAAAAAGGUCUUUUUUUAAGAACAGCCGAGAACGAAGUGCCAAGAAGAUUUUGAUACCAAACUUAAACACAAGCAAUGGUUGUACACUAUACUUCACAAUGUGAGGCCAGAACAGUUGUCAGCGAAUCAGCAAAAGAUCAAAAAUACAGACUAAAGUAACUGCAACGACCUAACCUUAUAGUGCAGUAGAUGAAUGUAUAUAUAAAACACAAGUAUGGCUACUCACGAAUAGAUAGAGACAAAGAGAUCACACACACACACACACACACAAAACCACAUACCCAGUGUAGUCAGACAAAGCGAGGCCACACACACAGAGACAUGUGUGUGUGUGUGUGUGUUGUCUUAGAAGAAUAAAUCAAACAACACAUGCCUCUUUCACUUGUGUUGUCUUAUAGGGGCAAAGGCAAAUUGUGUCACAGAAUGAAUAAAUGAUGUAGUAGAAGAGUUAAACUGAUAAGGAAAACAUUUGCAUGUCAAAUAAAGAUUAUGUAUCUUUUCUCUUUCCAUUUUUUAGCUGAUAAAUACUCCUUAUGGACAACUUUUCUACCAACUUGUUUCACCUGUACACAAUCUUGUUAUUGGAAUGACUAUAAUUGAGCAUUGCAAGUCAAAAUCAAGUCUGGCAACAAUGAGUCCUUAAGUCUAAUACUUCUUCUCCAAUCAAGGACCUGCCUGAUUUUAAUUGCACGGAUAGAGAUAACCCAAAUGAAUCCCGUUUUCCCUUUCUCAGACGGUAGGGAAGAAUACCUGCAUAUAUGUCAGCUGAUCAUAGCUCAAAGCAAGUUUUCUAACAUCAGGAUUUGAUCCAUCCUGCCAAAGGGAGGUGGCAAAAAACAAGAGAAAGAAGACAAGCAUACAAUAGAAGGCUAUGAGGGAAAAUAAAUGGGUACCUGAGAUAUGAAAAGAGGAAAUUUUGACGCAAUGGGUGUUUGAUAUCUGAUGACAACAAUCGAGGUACCGCGCUUAUCAACUGAGGAAUCUAGAACGUAAUAAGAAGCAGACUUAAUUGUUUUGAUAGAAAGCAUACUUUAAGAUGGAUUUGAUAGUCCUCUCCAAGUAGUCAGCACGAUUGCAAGCCAUAACAACUACAGCAGCCACUGGCAUCUAGUAUAUAUAGUAAUUAGAUGAUGAACAAACAUUUGACAGAAUUCAGGUUAACAGAUGUUGGUAGCAUGACUGAAGAUGUGAGAAUGUAUGUAAACCUGCAAAUUUCCAAUCAACUUUUUUAUGCCCUUGCCUGUAACAGAUAAAUUAACAACAUCAAAUAUAUAAGUAAGUUCAAAUACUUGUAGGCAGGAGUAUAUUUAUUUAUUUAUGUUUGAUAAGGUAAGAUUACUUGUAUUUGUAUUUAUAAGUAAGUUCAAAUAUUUGUAUUUGCUGUCAAUUCUGUAUUUCAACUAAUGGUUUAUUUAGAUCAUAUUGAGUAAUAGUUUAGUUCAUCAGUCAUAACUACCAUUGCAUUCUUUUUUCAAGCUUAUCAGUUGGUUAUUAACAUCUAUUCUGACAUUGCAUUCAUUUAUCAAGCUUCUUAGUUGAUUUUGAUAUUCACUAGAUAAAGCCGGAAGCCGAGGGUCUAUCGGAAACAACCUCUCUACUUCUUCGGAGGUAGCGGUAUUUUUGUUGUUGUUGAUGUUUGAUAAGGUAAGAUUAGUUGUAGGCAUGAGUAUAUCUAGAAUUAGAGCCCAUAUUAAUAACUCAAUGAUGUGAACUGACACAUUGACACUAACAUAUCUUUAUUUAUCAUGUACAAUAGGUAUGAUUUGUACAGGCAUACAUUCAUAUAACUGCAACUAAAAGCAGUGGCUUUUUGACAAAAAGCUGAAAGAAUGAAGAGGAGUUUCUGAACUUACUUUCAAGAUCCUGAACAAGAGCCUUUAAUUGUCGGCACUCCUGGUCCUGGCGCUUCAUUUGUUCUGAAAAUGUAGCAAGAUGAAGAUAAGGAAAGUACAACUACCCAUUACCCUUCAUAUAAAGAAGAUAAAAAGCAUUCAGUUUCUGACAGCAAAUACCAGAUUUUUAUUUCUUUUCGAUUGGUGCAAAAAACAGAUUUUAUCAUUUGAGAUCUACAUUAUCACAGAAAGAAUAAGGAACAAUGCAUUGAAAGAGAAACAUGAAGAACUGAACAGGUCCUAUCCUCCCUGCUUAUCCACGUCUUGCAACAUACAAGACCAAAAAAAUAAAUUUUGUAAAAGAAAACAUAUCUACACCAUUUUUUACCCCAACUCAUGUACGAUAGGACGAAAACUUACAUAUAAUUUUCAAGAUACACGAUUUCCAAUAGCUCCGUUUGUCGAAUGGAGGAAAUAAAUUCAUUUCUCAGAUAGUUGGAAAGAGGACACAAAAAAAAGAAAGAAAAGAUCACACCGGAGAACAAAGUGCACCUUCAAGAGCCACUACUCUUCCUCGCUGCUGGCUAAUCUGGUCAAUAAGCAACCUAGUCUGACUUGUACAAUGACUUUCUGCUUCAAUCUGUGCCAUUCACAUGAUUUGUACACAUUAUAAGCAAUUAAAAGUUCUUUUCUUCCUUUGUCUUUAUCAGGUAAAUAUAGUUUCUUAAAAGUUCUUUUCUUCUUUCUUUAGCCUACAUCAUUGACACAGGAUGCAGUUGUGUGCUGAGAAGAAAAUGCAAAAGAAGAUUAAGCAAUCUCUUGUUGAGAAGAAAAAAGAGAGGAUAUUCAGAAUGACAUUUGAAUUGUGAACGAUACCUUCAAGUGGAGCAUAUGAAGCUUAAAGAAUGUUAUGUUCAAAAUAGGUGACAUGAAUUAUAAAUACAUAAACGGUAGAACACAGGAAAUAUGCCCAUUAUAUUUAGAUUCCAUUUAGGGAGAAUGACUAGAUGCGCCCAGAUACUCACUGCAGUAGCAAGGCGGUCUGCAUAUUCUGACUGUGUCGCGAAAAGCCGCAUCUGAGCAAUGUAGCAAAAACAACCACUUAAAACAUACCUACUUCACCAUUAAGCAAACACUAAUCCAGGAAGGAAAAAAAGAAGAGGGAGGGUAAUCUAUCUAUCAAUAUUAUAUUAGAAGUGUGAAAAGGUCCUAAGAAAUGUUGAUCGAACUUUUUGCCCUUUACUAAAAGACUCUACAAUAGACAAAAUUCUCACUUACUAUAUCCCUAAGUUAAUAAUUAAUUAUCUUUAUAAUACUUAAAAUUAAGGAAUGGUAAAGUAUAUAUGGUAAGAGAAAAAUAUAUAGUAAGAGCUACUAGGAGAAUUAAUAAUUAAGGAAUACAUUAAAAUAUAUAGUAAGAGAAAAACAUAUUUUAAAAGUUAAGGAAUCCGAAAAUAUAUGAUGAGAGUUCUAAGGUUUUUCUCUAUCAACAUAACAAUAAGACAUGUGACAGUUGAUGUCGUAUGAGGCGGUCAAGAUAAUCAUACUUCAGGCAUGCCAAGAUGCAUAAAGCUGCUCAAGGUGAAGGAGUGUAAUUAACGCAACUUCAUUUUUUACCUUUUUUAUAUACAUUUAUUAUAAAUUAACGCAAUACAGUCCAGUCGUGGUAACUAGUUUCAUCUAAUAACACCUAUGACCUAUGUCAACAGAAGAAAGUAAGCUCAUAUGGCAAAGUCUAGAUGAGACAAGCAAUUAGUGCAAACCCUGCUUAUCCACGUCUUGCAACAUACAAGACCAAAAAAAUAAAUUUUGUAAAAGAAAACAUAUCUACACCAUUUUUUACCCCAACUCAUGUACGAUAGGACGAAAACUUACAUAUAAUUUUCAAGAUACACGAUUUCCAAUAGCUCCGUUUGUCGAAUGGAGGAAAUAAAUUCAUUUCUCAGAUAGUUGGAAAGAGGACACAAAAAAAAGAAAGAAAAGAUCACACCGGAGAACAAAGUGCACCUUCAAGAGCCACUACUCUUCCUCGCUGCUGGCUAAUCUGGUCAAUAAGCAACCUAGUCUGACUUGUACAAUGACUUUCUGCUUCAAUCUGUGCCAUUCACAUGAUUUGUACACAUUAUAAGCAAUUAAAAGUUCUUUUCUUCCUUUGUCUUUAUCAGGUAAAUAUAGUUUCUUAAAAGUUCUUUUCUUCUUUCUUUAGCCUACAUCAUUGACACAGGAUGCAGUUGUGUGCUGAGAAGAAAAUGCAAAAGAAGAUUAAGCAAUCUCUUGUUGAGAAGAAAAAAGAGAGGAUAUUCAGAAUGACAUUUGAAUUGUGAACGAUACCUUCAAGUGGAGCAUAUGAAGCUUAUAGAAUGUUAUGUUCAAAAUAGGUGACAUGAAUUAUAAAUACAUAAACGGUAGAACACAGGAAAUAUGCCCAUUAUAUUUAGAUUCCAUUUAGGGAGAAUGACUAGAUGCGCCCAGAUACUCACUGCAGUAGCAAGGCGGUCUGCAUAUUCUGACUGUGUCGCGAAAAGCCGCAUCUGAGCAAUGUAGCAAAAACAACCACUUAAAACAUACCUACUUCACCAUUAAGCAAACACUAAUCCAGGAAGGAAAAAAAGAAGAGGGAGGGUAAUCUAUCUAUCAAUAUUAUAUUAGAAGUGUGAAAAGGUCCUAAGAAAUGUUGAUCGAACUUUUUGCCCUUUACUAAAAGACUCUACAAUAGACAAAAUUCUCACUUACUAUAUCCCUAAGUUAAUAAUUAAUUAUCUUUAUAAUACUUAAAAUUAAGGAAUGGUAAAGUAUAUAUGGUAAGAGAAAAAUAUAUAGUAAGAGCUACUAGGAGAAUUAAUAAUUAAGGAAUACAUUAAAAUAUAUAGUAAGAGAAAAACAUAUUUUAAAAGUUAAGGAAUCCGAAAAUAUAUGAUGAGAGUUCUAAGGUUUUUCUCUAUCAACAUAACAAUAAGACAUGUGACAGUUGAUGUCGUAUGAGGCGGUCAAGAUAAUCAUACUUCAGGCAUGCCAAGAUGCAUAAAGCUGCUCAAGGUGAAGGAGUGUAAUUAACGCAACUUCAUUUUUUACCUUUUUUAUAUACAUUUAUUAUAAAUUAACGCAAUACAGUCCAGUCGUGGUAACUAGUUUCAUCUAAUAACACCUAUGACCUAUGUCAACAGAAGAAAGUAAGCUCAUAUGGCAAAGUCUAGAUGAGACAAGCAAUUAGUGCAAAGAAGGGAUUGUUUGGCUUUCCCUAAGCAAGAGAAGAGAAAGAUUUCUCUUUAUAAUAAUUGCGGUAUCAAGGCUACCUUGACUAAUCCAAUCCAUGGGGUAUAACUUUGUGUCUUUUGCCUCAGUUGGGAUUCCAACGUUGGUUCUUCAAUCGCUAGGCCAGACCCAAAUUCAAUAAAUAAAUAAAUAAAGAAAGAAAAGAAAAGGGUUGCAGGAGCAGCAAUUUCAUUUUAAUUAGAGAAAGAAAAGGAGGAGGAUAGGAUAUGAAUGUAACCCCAACCUGUAUGUAGAUGAAGGCGAGAGCAGCGAGGAGGAGAAGGUACCGUAAAUCAAAGCAACAAUACUUUUUAUUGUUGGAAUUCCCUCUCAUCUCCACUCCUGAUUUCCUUUCCCCAAACAAGGGAUCCCAGAUUGAUCUCCAACAAUCCCACUUCCACUAACUCUACUCUACUAUUUGUAUAUUGCUUUUCUUUCUCUACUCAUGACUUAGGUAAAACAAACGCAAAAUAGACCGACCCUCCUUUUUUUUUUUUUUUCUUUUUAUAUUUUUUAACAAAGAACAUGUACUAUUGAAUUCUUGAAUUUUUCAUCAACAAAGAUAACUUAUCUCGGACUAAUAAUAGUAUCAAUACAUUCGGUGAUAUAAGUUAUUUCAUCCUAUUUUAUCCUUUGAUAAAAUUAUAAAAUAACAAAACCAAUCCUAAUUCAUUUUUUGUUACUUUAUAUAGUGAUACGGAGCAUGAGUUUUAAUGCUUGAAGUUGAAAUGUGUUCUUCAAUUUCAUAAACUGGGGGAUAGUUUUCGUUCAUGAUUAGCCUGAAAGGUGUUGCUGGGUUUCAUUCCUGACCAGUCUGAGAGGGUGUUACUAUAUGCUUAGUUUGGAAAUAUAAAUCAGAAUUUUAAUUGUACCUCGCUAAUAGUUUCAUUCAGAUUAAUCAUAUCGAUUUUAAAAGCUCUCAUAUUAGCCUUUGACAUGUUUCUCUUUUAAACAUUUUAUCUUCCAAUUUAUUUAUCUAUUUCCUAAGUGGGCAUCUUGAGCAGUUAUCUAUCUGAUCCAGUGCAAAAGGCUCACCCAAGAGACUGCUUGAUUUACUUCACUUCCAUAAAUAAAAGCAUCUCUACCUUAUGUCUACUUCACUUCCAUAAAUAAAAGCAUCCUCCACCUUAUGUCUAAUUACGGAGGUUUUCAAAUGUUGUAUUUUGAUUGCUACAUUGCCUUUUUUACUUUAGCUUCUAGUUUUCAAAUAUAUAUUAUUGAAGUGCAAUUUACAGCUUUAACAACCAGUAUUAUUUAGAUAAAUAUGCAUAAAUCUUAUAUAUUGGUACAUAAGUACUGAACACAGAGAAAAAUCACAGCAAUACAAACAUAAAAAUAAUUAAGUUAACUAAAGUGAGGGGUAUUUUUGGAAACAAACAAUAUAUUUUUACAAAAAAUGCACUGCAUUUAUUUUAAAUACCCCAAACCAAACAAUCACUAAAAAAUAAUACUACGAUAACUUAUCCCAGGACAACUAAUUCCAACAUAACUAAUCUCACCAUAACUAAUCCUGGUAUAACUUGUCUUCUACCUCAAGUAAGAAAAAUAUUUCUCUUUAAAUAUAUUUAUUUAUUUUCGUUUUUAUUCUUUCCUCGCAUCUAAUCUUCUUUUCACCACUGUUAAACUAAUUUAAGGAGGAAGAUUCAUGGAUCGGAGCAGGGGCGGAUCUACGAUAGCGGGUGUGGGUUCUCGAGAACUCACACCCGUUAUCGAAAGGUUUAUGUAAUUCUACACCCAUUACCGUAAGGUUUAUAAUUGCAUGAGAAAAAUUAUCAAAAUGUAUAAAUAUUAACAAGUGAAAAUUCAUAAAUAAAUCAAGGGACCACUUAGUGGUAGGAAAGAACCCUCACUUCAGAGGUUCUUAUUUUUUUUAUUUAAUUCUUUUUAGAUCCUACUUUUUCCACAAGUUUAAAAUUUUGGAUCCGCCUCUGAAUCGGAGUCACCAUCGCGACACUCAUCGUUGUACCAGCUUCCCACCAUUUAUGUUGCCGUAAACAACCUCACAAAAUUCAAUUUCAUCACUUUGUAACUUAAAUAAUACAUAUGUUCUCAAAAAUCAAAUGAAAAAAAAGAAGCUAAAAGUCUUAUAUCGAAUUUGAUCAAUGUCCCAUUGAAUUUGAUAGAUUUAUUUUGUCUUUCUUAAUCUCCAAGAAAUAUACGAUAUUUUAAAGCAUCGUGAGUUGAUGAUAAGUUUUAUUCUAUAUUAUGUUUCUAUUUUUAAGUUCUGAUUUUAUUCUAUAUUAUAUGUUAAGAGGUAAUGGAGGUCCUUUUUUGAAGGAAAUGGAGUUUUUCUUUUUGAAGAAGAAGGCCAAUAAUUUUAUUUUAUUUUUGUCUCAAAAGGUUUUUACUUCUUUUUUAUUGAAUUAUUUGUGAGCAAAAAUAAGUUAUCUUUCUCUUAUUGAUGCAUUCUUCAGGUCACCCGCAUGUAAACUUCACGCACUUUAAUUUUUUUAUGAUUUUUUGAAAAAAACUAUUUAAUAAGUGUACUUAACGAAAGGUUCAAUAGGUUUAUGACCCAAUUGAGAUGCCAAUGCUGAGAGAAUCAAAAAAUUCAGUCACCUAUGUUAGAAUUUGGAGCUUAAGAGAAGGAAAAGAAAAAGUUUCUGCAGCAACUUUUCAUUCAUACAUACAUACAUCAUAGAUACAUCUUACAAAAGACUAUACUUAUAGCCACAUAAGUCUUACAAGACACACCUCAUAGUAUCUUACAAGACACACUAUCUCAAAAUAAGGACUACCAUUUAUUUUUUUUAAAUAAACAUAAUAUUAAAAGAAACUAUUAAAUAAAAGACUCUUAGAAAAAUCUCAUAGUCUAACACUCCUCCUUGAGAUUUUUCUUGGAUACUCCCUGUUAGCCCAUAUGUUAUUGGGCCUUUAGUUUAUGGACCUUUAGGUUAUUGGCUAUGUAUAUAUAGCCUACUCUUGCUUUAGUCAGUUUUAUGCUUUUCAGAUUAUAUUGUAAACCUUAGCCUUUCUUCCCUUCAAUAAAGUUCUAUUAACAUGGUAUCAGAGCUAGUUCGAUCCAUGUCCUUUGAUUUGUUGGUUGAAGAUUUUGUAGCAGGCACCUACUGCGCGGAGCCCCGAAUUUUUUUGAGGUGCUGCUGUAUUCGUUUGCUAUUUUCGUUGGGUUUUUUGGUUGGAUUGAUUCGUUGCUGUCUUCGUUUGCUGUCUGGUAUUGUUCGUCUUUCGUUCUUUUGCUUGCUGCCAUUGUUGUUCGUUCGGAAUUGUUCAACCUAGGGUUUUGCAUCUUUUUGUUUUUUGAAUUGUUUGUGUGUUGCUGUGUUUACAAUGACUGGAAAGGAUGAUUCUCUCCAGUCCAUUAGUACUCAAUUAGAUGGUAAGAACUAUGCAUAUUGGAGUUAUGUCAUGAAGAAUUUUCUUCGUGGGAAGAAUAUGUGGGGUUAUAUCACUGGAGUAAAACCAAGACCUAUCGAUGAUAAAACUGAAAAUUUUGAUUUGUUGGUGGACUUAUGGGAAACUAAUAACUCCAAGAUUAUCACUUGGAUCAACAAUUCUGUAACUCAGUCAAUUGGUAUGCAAUUGGCUAAGUAUGACACAGCAAAGGAGGUCUGGGAUCAUUUGGAAAGACUGUACACUCAGUCUAAUUUUGCUAAGCAGUACCAGUUGGAGUAUGAUAUCCGUGCUCUUCAACAGCAUGAUCUCAGUAUUCAAGAUUUUUAUGCUGCCAUGUCGGAUUUGUGGGAUCAAUUGGCACUUACUGAAUCUGCAGAGUUAAAAGGUUUUGGGCCGUACAUUGCUAGACGGGAAGAGCAACGCUUGGUUCAGUUUUUGAUGGCACUACGUUCUGACUUUGAGGGCCUACGUGGAACAAUCCUUCAUCGAUCUCCCCUCCCUACUGUUGAUUCUGUGGUUCAUGAACUGAUUGCAGAGGAGACUCGUAUCAAGUCUCAAGUGGAUAAAGGGUCUAAAGUAACUACUACUCCUGUCGUGUUUGCUGCUUCAACUGAUCAGUCUAGGCCACCACGUACUCAGACUCGACAAUCUCCUAAAGUUGCAUUUGAUGAGUGUGCAUUCUGCAAACAGAAAAAUCAUUGGAAGGCUCAGUGUCCGUUGUUACUUAACAAGGUCAAACAGCCUCAAUCUGGGCAGCAACAGAAAUAUGGGCAGCAAAAGUCUCCGUCACGCUCCUCUGGUGCUCCUCCAUGGUCAUCUCGUCCUCCACAGUUCGCUGCUGCUGCACCAUCUGUAGAUGUUGAGUCUGUUAGCACUAUGCCACCUUCUGCGUUGGAUCCCCAGGUUUUCGAACAGUUCAGACAGUUCUUCGUUUCUAAUCCUACGGCCAUGUCAGCAUCUAUGUCUCAUUCGGGUUCAGUUUCUUCUAGUACCUCAGGUAUUCCUUCCUCCUUGUGGAUAUUGGAUUCUGGUGCGUCUCAUCACAUGUCCCCUCAUUUGUCAUCGUUUGGUUCUUUGUCACCCAUUUCACCAAUCUCUGUUAUGUCCGCGAGUGCUGUACCUAUGUCAGUCGAGGGUGUUGGUUCUGUUACUACCCCUCACAUUGUCCUCUCUGAUGUUUAUUACAUUCCCAAACUUGCUUUAAAUCUUGUUUCGGUCAGUCAGUUGUGUAAGGCUGGUAAUUGGGUGUUUUUUUCUGAUUCUGUUUGUGUUAUACAGGACCAACACACUCAGAGGGUGAUUGGGACCGGCCGUAGGUUGGGGGAACUCUAUGUCUUGGAGAAUCUCAAAGUGUCUGUAGUUGCUGCCUCUAGCAUAGAUUUAUCUUCUUUUCGUUUGAGUCCUUUGUCUUCUCAGUUUUAUCUUUGGCAUUCCAGAUUAGGACAUGUGUCAGUUUCACGUUUACGUUUUUUGGUCUCUAGUGGUGCUUUGGGUCAUGUGAACACUAGUGAUAUUUCAGAUUGUAGUGGUUGUAAACUGGCAAAAUUUUCUGCCUUACCGUUUAAUAAAAGUGUGUCUUAUUCUGUUGCUCCUUUUGAUAUUAUUCAUUCUGAUGUAUGGGGACCAGCGCCAGUAUCCACUAAGGGUGGAUCGACCUAUUAUGUUUCGUUUAUAGAUGACUAUACUCGUUAUACCUGGGUGUAUCUUAUGAAACGCAGAUCUGAUUUCUUUGGCAUUUACAACAACUUUAGAGCCCUUGUUAAAACACAACAUUCGGCUGUGAUAAAGUGUUUCAGGUGUGACUUAGGGGGUGAAUAUACCUCUAAUGACUUCACUCAGUUACUUGCCUCUGAUGGUACCAUACACCAGUCAUCUUGUACCGACACUCCUGAGCAGAACGGUCUGGCAGAAAGAAAACAUCGUCAUAUUGUUGAGACAGCACGCUCUUUACUUUUGUCUGCAGAGGUUCCUAGUAUUUUUUGGGGAGAAGCAGUUCUAACUGCUGUAUAUGUGAUUAAUCGUAUUCCUACUGCAUUGACUUCAGGGAUGUCUCCGUUUGAGAAACUAUAUGGUCACCCGCCGAAUUAUUCUGCAUUACGAGUUUUUGGAUGUACUUGCUUUGUUCUUCGUCCUCAUGUUGAACGAAAUAAGUUAGGGUCAAAAUCAGCUAUAUGUGUGUUUUUGGGGUAUGGUAUUGGACAAAAAGGAUAUCGUUGCUAUGAUCCUGUAAGUCAGAAAUUAUAUGUUUCACGACAUGUCACUUUUUUGGAACAUAUUCCUUUUUAUUCCAUUCCAGCUAAAACCCAUGAUGUGACAAAGUCAGAUAUUCGGCUUAUUGAUCCCUUUGGGAUUGACAUAGAGGUUCCAGUUCCGGAUUCAUCCAUGCCAUCUGGUGUGCCACCUGAUAGUGCUUCAGCCUCGCCUGUGCCUGAGUCUGCUCCUUCGACUGUUGAGACUGGAGACCCACCACCUCUGAGGAGGUCUACUCGACCUUGUAAGUCCACCAAACUGCCAGAUUUUUACUAUUCUACAUAUUCAGCCUCAUUUGCUUCCUUUAUUGCAAACAUACAUCAUUUGUCUGAACCUGAGUCGUAUAGAGAGGCUGUGUCUGAUCCUCUUUGGCAGAAUGCUAUGGCUGAGGAACUUGCUGCUCUUCAUCAUACACAUACAUGGGAUUUGGUUACUCUCCCACCUGGUAAGCAUGCGAUUGGUUGUCGAUGGGUGUAUAAGAUAAAAACAAAAUCUGAUGGGUCUGUUGAGCGAUACAAGGCAAGACUUGUGGCAAAAGGGUAUUCACAACAAUAUGGUAUGGAUUAUGAGGAGACUUUUUCCCCCGUAGCAAAGAUGACGACUGUUCGCACUAUGAUUGCUGUUGCAUCCGUUCGACAGUGGAAGAUAUUUCAGAUGGAUGUCAAGAAUGCUUUUCUGAAUGGUGAUCUCCACGCGGAAGUUUAUAUGACUCCUCCCCCAGGUAUUGACCACCAGCCAGGUGAAGUUUGUCGGCUUCGAAAAGCUUUAUAUGGUCUCAAACAAGCCCCUCGUGCUUGGUUUGAGAAAUUCUCCACUGUUAUUACUUCCCUUGGAUUUGUCCCGAGUAACCAUGAUUCAGCAUUGUUUGUUAGAUGUACAAGUGCAGGGCGAAUUCUAUUGUCCUUAUAUGUAGAUGAUAUGAUUAUUACUGGUGAUGAUCAUAGUGGUAUUGAGUUAUUGAAGCAUGAUUUGGCUCAUCGAUUUGCAAUGAAGGACUUGGGCUUGCUGCGUUAUUUUCUGGGUAUUGAGGUGGCUCAGUCUAAGAAAGGGUAUCUUCUUUCUCAGACUAAGUAUAUAUCUGACUUGUUUACACGGGCGCGUCUUUCUGACAACAGGACUGUAGAUACUCCCCUUGAAACCAAUGCACGUUACUCUCCUAGUGAUGGUGUUCCAUUAUCAGAUCCGAGUCUUUAUCGGACUAUUGUGGGUAGUUUGGUUUAUCUUACGGUUACUCGUCCAGAUAUAGCACAUGCAGUUCAUGUUGUUAGCCAGUUUGUUACUGCUCCUACUUCUGUGCACUGGGGAGCUGUACUUCGUAUUCUAAGGUAUCUUCGUGGCACUCAGUUUCAGAAUCUCUUGUUUCCCUCGACGUCAUCUCUCGAGUUGCGAGCCUAUAGUGAUGCUGAUUGGGAUGGAGAUCGCAAUGAUCGUAAAUCCACCACUGGUUUUUGUGUGUUUCUUGGAGACUCUUUAAUCUCGUGGAAGAGCAAGAAACAAGAUGUUGUCUCUAGAUCUUCCACGGAGGCUGAGUAUCGUGCUAUGGCUGUGACUACAUGUGAGAUUAUUUGGUUACGUUGGCUUCUUGCAGAUAUGGGGGUUCACAUUUCUAUGCCUACUCCCCUGCAUUGUGAUAACAAAAGUGCGGUACAAAUUGCAAAGAAUUCUGUCUUCCAUGAGCGUACGAAGCACAUUGAGAUUGAUUGUCACUUCACCCGUCAUCAUUUACAGCUCGGGACCAUAUCGCUUCCUUUUGUUCCAUCGUCUUUGCAGAUUGCUGACCUUUUUACGAAGGCUCAGUCGGCAUCUCGAUUUCGUUUUUUGUGUGACAAACUCUCAAUGCUUAUUGCUGUUGCAUUGUGAGUUUGAGGGGGGAUGUUAGCCCAUAUGUUAUUGGGCCUUUAGUUUAUGGACCUUUAGGUUAUUGGCUAUGUAUAUAUAGCCUACUCUUGCUUUAGUCAGUUUUAUGCUUUUCAGAUUAUAUUGUAAACCUUAGCCUUUCUUCCCUUCAAUAAAGUUCUAUUAACACUCCCAGCAUAGCCCUUAGAACUUCAAAUUUCCCUUUAGGAAGAGCCUUGGUCAAAAUGUUAGCAAUUUGCUGAUCGCAGCUGCAAUGAACAAUAUUAACAUCGCCAUCCUUCUAUGCUUGCCUGAUAGCGAGAAACUUCACAUUGAUAUGCUUGCUACGACCAUGUUGCAUUGAAUUUUUUGCCAUAAAAAUUGUUGACUUGUUGUCAACCUUAAUGACAGUAGCUUUAAUUUGAUUUUGCUCUAGAUCACGUAGAACUUUUCGUAACCAUGAAGACUGAUUAGAUGCACCAGCAGCAGCGAUGUAUUCUGCUUCUACAAAUGAUUGAGCUACCAUAUCUUGCUUCUUUGAAUUCCAUGAGAAUAUGCUGGAACCAAAUGUAAAAGCAUAUCCAGAAGUGUUUUUCGUAUCAUCAACACUUCCUGCCCAAUCACUGUCUGAAUAACCCAUCAAUUGCCCAUGCUCUUCCCUUUUAAACCAAAUACCAUAAUCAACAGUUUCCUUAAGAUACCUUAAUAUUUGUUUGGAAAUACGAAGAUGAACUUGACUUGAAGAAUGCAUAAACCUUGACAAAAAACGUGUCGCGAACAUGAGAUCAGGUCUUGUUGCUAUCAAAUAUAGCAAACUACCAAUUAGACUUCUGUAAACUGUUGGAUCAGCUCUAUCACCCUUUUCAGACUUCGAGAUCUUUUCAUUGUGAACUAGUGAAGUUGAUAUAGGCUUACACUUAUCCAUCUUGAACUUCUUAAGAAUAUCCCAUGCAGAUUUUCUCUGGGAAAUGAAGAUUCUAUCAGUAGCUUGAUGAAUCUCCAUUCCCAGGAAGUAAUUCAUUUCAUCCAAGUCUGACAUCUCAAACUUGGUCUCCAUUUCUUGCUUGAAUUGAUUCAUCAUAACUUUAUUGCUUUCGAUUAUUAGAAGAUCAUCAAGACAAAGUGAUACCACAAGCACAUCUCCACCUUUAGCCUUCUUUACAUAUAAAGUGGCUUCAGUUUUAAUUCUGUUGAAGUCACAAUGAAUAAGAUGGUCAUCAAUCUUACUGUACCAUGCUCGAGGAGCUUGUUUUAAUCCAUACAAUGCCUUGUGUAAUCUAUAAACUUUAUCCUUCAUUUCUUCACUUGAAAGCCUUCCGGUUGGUCGAUAUAAAUUUUUUCCUACAACGGCUCAUUUAAGAAUGUCGACUUCAUAUGCAUAUGAUACAACUUCCAAUUUGAUCGAGAUGCCAAAGCAAAUAGAAGUCGUAUCGUAUUAUGUCUUGCAACAGGUGCAAAUCUGUUUCCAUAAUCCAGGCCUGGAACUUACGCAUAACCUUUCACAACAAAUCUUGCUUUGUAUUUAUUAACUGAACCAUCUGGAUUAAGUUUGGUUCUAUAAACCUAUUUCACCCCUAUUACAUUUCUGUCUUUGGGUUUAUCAACCAGCUUCCAAGUGUCAUUCUUCUCUAUCAUACCAAUCUCCUCCUUCAUUGUUUCAAUCCAAACUUCAUAUUUUGAUGCUUCUUGAUAGGUAUUGGGUUCCAAAAUUGCAACAUUGUAUCUUUCAUAUAUCUCAGAAAGGGACCUUGUCUUCAAAAUUGGCGAAUCAAGUGAGGAUUCACUAUCUGAUUCAUCAGCUUCUUCCAGAUUUUCAGAGCCAAAUGGUUGUGUUUUAGGAAGUGGAUGCAUGUUCGAAUAACCUGUAUUUUCUUUCUCAACUUGCUCCUUAUCCCAGUUCCAAUAAGCAUGCUCAUCCACUACUACAUCUCUUCUGAUGGAUAUACCUUUUGUUUACAAGUUGAAAACUCUAUAACCUUUGGCUUGCAAUAAAUAACCAAUAAAAGAUCCCUAAUUCACCUCUUGGUUCAAGCUUGCUUCUUCUGACUGAGGGAACAUGAGAAUAGCAUAUCGAACCAAAGACUUUUAAGUGCUUUGGUAGAUGGCCUUUUUACAGUCCAUGCCUCAAUAGGAGUUUUAUCGCCCAUAGCUUUAGUUGGCAGCCUAUUAAACAAAUAAACUGAAGUAGAACCAGCUUCUUCCCAAAAACUUUGUGGUAGUUUCUUUUUAAGCAACAAACAUCUGGCCAUUAUCACUACCAUUCAGUUCUUCUUCUCUGAAACUCUAUUUUGUUUUGGUGAAUAACUUACUGUCAUCUUGUGAUCAAUCCCUACAUCUUCAUAAUACUUAUUGAACUCAUUUGAGGUGUAUUCACCUCCAUUGUCUGACCUCAAAGCUUUCAGCUUGCAAUUACUCUGUCUUUCAGCAAAAGCUUUAAACUUCUUAAAAACUGAAAAUACUUGAGACUUAUUACUCAAAAAAUAAACCCAAUUCAUCCUCGUUGAGUCAUCAAUAAACAACACAAAAUAUUUGUUUUGACCCAAGAAUGAUGUCUUCAUAGGUCCACAUACAUCAGUGUGAACAAGUUCAAGAUUUUCAGUUGCCCUCCGUGUAGAACUUUUAGAAAAUGCUUUCCUGUGAACCUUACCCAUCUGACAUGACCCACAAACUUCUUUAGUGAGAUCUCAAGUAAAUCCUUAGUCAGCCCUUCCCAUACAUAGACCUCAAAGUGACAUAGUUAAAAUGCUCAUAUCUUCUGUGCCAUAACCAUGAAUCGUCCAAUCUUACAAAAUUAGCACUAUCAAACUUUCCAUCAACUGGAAAGAUCCUAUCCAUCAUUUCUACUUUGUCAAUCAAAGCAAAGUAUCAUCAAUAUCAAAAAUCAAAUAAUAUUUUCCCUUAAAAAGUAAGGAGUAACCUUUAGACAUCAUUUGGCCAACACUCAAUAGGUUACAUGCUAAAGAAGGAACAUACAACACAUCAUGUAUACGCUUUGUACCUUGUUUAGUUUGAAAGAAAACUGAACCUUUUCAUGUGCUUCUAAUGUUGCACCAUUUCCCAUCCUAAAUUUAGAUUUAAGUGACUUGUCAAGUGUGUGAAACAUGAGCUCAUUAUAUGACAUGUGACUCAUGCAUUCAAUGUCUAGGAACCAUUUGGAUUGGUUGGUUGUGCUUUCUUUAUGAGUAUCCAUAAACAAGCUUUCUUCCUUUUCUGACUCUUCAGUAAAAUUUGCUGAACUUGUUGUUGUGGUUGAUUCUGCUUGGCCCUGCAAUUCUUCUCAAUAUGACCCAUUUUCUACAUAAUCUGUACUGAAUUGAUGGCUUUCCUUUGAACCAGCAAUCCUUUUCUUGAUGGUUGGUUCUUUUACAGUGGACGCAAGGUGGAAACUUUUCUCUCUAUAAAGAUUUCAUCCAUGGUUUUCUCUUUGCUGUUUUAUCCCCUUUUAUCCUCUUAUUGCCCUUCACAGGUUGCUUGUAUUUGUGCUUUGCUUGAAAUGCCACUUCUUCUACUUCUUCAUCUCUUAUACUUGUCCUUUGUUCUUAGGCUUGCAAUUUGCUGGUAAGCUUAUCAUCGUUUGCUCCACCACCUUUGAAUUUGGAAAAGGUUCACCAAAUAAUCUUAUCUUGUUUAUAAUUUCCAAAAGUUUGGCAGAGUACGGUGACAGAAACAAGAGAAACCAAGAUUUUCUGAAUAGCAACUUAUCUAAUUCCAUAAUACAUAAUGAAAUACUUAUAGCUAUACAACUGUAGGAUAGAGUUCUACCCUAGGAAAGAAUAUAUAUUGUUAUAACUACACAAUCAGUAAUAAAAUUCUAUUCUAGGAAAGAGAAUAUUCUGUCUAUACAAUUAUACUAUUACCCAACACCCCCUCUCAAAUUGAUAUCGGUGAUCACACAGUAGCAAUUUGGAGCUAAGAUAGAUAUGUCAUGCGCGUGUCAUAGCCUUUGUAAACAAAUCGGCAAGUUGAUCAUGAGACGAAAUGUGUUGUAGAGUGAUAAGACGGUCAGCAACUAGUUCCCGAAUAUAAUAACAGUCCACCUCUAUAUGCUUUGUGUUUUCAUGUUGCACAGGAUUUGUGGCUAUUUUAAUCACACUAGUAUUAUCAGCAUGUAACAAUGUAGGAGAUAUAAUAGUAACACUAAGCUCAGAUAAUAGACGUCGUAGCCAAAUAAUUUUCGAACUUGCUAUCGACAUAGACAUUCGUAGAUGAUUUAGAUGUACGAGAUAAUUUCUUACAUUUCCAAGAUAUCAAGGAUGUGCCUAGAAACAUGCACCAACCAGUAACAGAACGCCAAGAAUCGGGACAACCAGCCCAGUCCACAUCAGUAUAUCCCUUAAGAUUUAUCGGAGAAUUUGAAUGGAAGAGAACACCUUGAUCUAUAGAACCACGGACAUACCAAAUGACACGAAGUACUGUAGUAUGUAUACGAUAAGGAUUAGCUACAAACUGACUUAGAACUUGCACCGCAUAUGAGAUGUCCGGCCUUGUCAUAGUGAGAUAAACUAAUGAUCCCACCAACUGCCGAUACAAUGUGGGAUCACUGAAUGGUUCACCAUCAGCCUCUCUAUAUUUCGUAUUAAUCUCCAUUGGGAUGUAUACAACCUUGUCAUCAGUAAGACAAGUCGUAGCAAUAAGAUCACUAGCAUACUUUUGUUGUGUAAGCAUUAUCCCAGUAGGCAAUUAUAGAACCUUAAGCCCAAGAAAGUAUGUCAAUCUUCCCAAGUCCUUCAUCUUAAAUGAGGUGUGCAAGAAUUCUUUUAACUUAGUAAUAUUCUCUUGAUCAUUUCUGGUUAUAAUGAUAUCAUCAACAUAGAUGAGAAGUACUGUGAUACCUACCAGAGAAGUAUGAAGAAACAAGGAAUAAUCUGAAAAACUCUGAGAGAAACCUGCAGUUUGGAUCGUGGAUCAAAAUUUGUCAAACCAAGCUCUGGGAGCCUGUUUUAAGCCAUAAAGAGAUUUUCGAAGACGACAAACUACAUUUGGUCUUGGCAGAACACACCCAGGUGGUGGUUUCAUACACACAACUUCUUCCAGGUCACCGUGAAAAAAUGCAUUUUUCAUAUCCAACUGAUGUAAAGUCCAGCCUUUAAUUGAAGCCAAGGCCAAUAAUGUCUGUACCGUUGUCAUCUUAGCAACAGGUGCAAAAGUCUCCUCAUAAUCUAUCCCAUACUCCUGUUUGUACUCUUGAGCAACCAAUCAAGCUUUAUAGCGAUUAAUUAUACCAUCUGCCUUCAUUUUAAUGGAAUACACCCACUUACUUCCAAUAAGAACUCCAUUCGUUGGUUUAUCAACAAAGUCCCAAGUUGAAUUUUCAUUCAGUGCACAAAGCUUGUCCGACAUUGCCUUUUUCCAGUAGGUUUGUGUAGAAGCCUGGGAGUAAGAUUUAGGAACCUCAAUAGAAUGUAGUGUGGUAUGUAAGGCAUAGGACUUACCAAAUUUCCCUGAAGAGUAGCCAAGUCAUUCGGGAGCAUGGCGAUUUGUUCUACUAGACCGACGUGGAGGAGUAACUGGAUGAGAGGAUCCCUCUUUCUAAGAUGAGAAUGAUAAUGUAGAGUCAAUACCAGAAAGAGAUGAAGGUUGGAGAGCUUCAUUACCAUUGUUCAUAGGUUAUUCUGGAGAUUCAAGCGGAGGAUCAGUACUUGAAGGAGAUAAAGGUUGAAGAUCACCAUUAUCAUAGUCCACAAGUUGUUCCGAAGACUCAAGCCGAGGGCCAGUAGCUACCAUAUCGUCAUCAAACUUGUACAGAAAAGAGAGACACUUUGAAGCAUGUUUAGCAUUGUAUUUGCAAGAAAAUUUUUCCUCAAAGAAAAUAACAUGUCUAGAUAUUCAAAGUUGACAGCAAGAUGCAUCAUAACAGAGAUACCCCUUUUGUGUGUCACUAUAUCCCUCAAAAAUACAUUGUGCUGCCUUUGUCGAAAGCUUUUGUCGUUCAUGUGCUGGAAGAUAUACAAAGCAAACACAACCAAAAACCCACAAGUGAGAAUAAUCAGACCUACGAUGAAAUAAUUUAAAGUACGAUGUCUCAUUUUCAAUGACUGGGAAGUUUGUCUAUUGAUCAAAUAUACAGAAGUAUGUACUGCUUCGGGCCAAAAACUUUUUAGCAUAUUCGACGUACUCAACAAAGUCAAUGUAGUUUCUAAAACAUGUCGAUUCUUUCUUCUUACUACCCCAUUUUGUUUCGGAGUAUGAGGACAAGUGCGUUGCCCAAUAAUUCCUUUGUUUUUUGAAAAAAAUCAACAAGGUUAGUCUUAUUGUACUCUCCUACUAAAUCAGAACGAAAUACUUUUAUAGUGUUAUUAAAUUAUGUACGAACAUACUUAACAAAAUUCAUAAUAAGAGUUAAAACCUCAGAUUUAUUUCUAAUAAAAAACACCCAGCUGUAUCUGGAUACAUGAUCAAUAAAUAACACAAAGUACUUAUAUCCCAUUCUUGACAAAAUUGGAGAAGGACCCCAAACAUCAUUAUGCACUAAAUCAAAUGGAUCUUCAUAAGUGACUUUUUGAACCGACACAAUUCGUACAUGCCAAAAGGAGACUGGAAUGGAUAUGAUGUGCUGCAAGAAGACAUGAUUUAAGCAUGUGAUGAAGCUAAGAAGAAUGAAGAUGACCCAUCCUAUUAUGCCAAAGAGUGAGAAAUUUAUUUGAACGAGUAACAUCCACUGCAAAAACUGAAAGAAAACAAUGAUGCAAGUGACGGUGAACCGACUAUAGUAGAAAUAUUCUCCCAAAUCUACGCCCCGUGGCCAUGGUCAUCCCUGUUUUCAGAUUCUGAACAACACAACCAUUGGGUGAGAAUUUUACAACACAAUUUUGAUAAACUAGUUGACCAACUGAAACCAAAUUAGCCUUCAAAUUUGGAACAUAAAGAACAUUAGAAAGAUUUCCACUAGAACUAAUACUCGACGCGGGUAACGUGUGCCCGUUUGCUGUAUGAAUAACAUGUUUAGAAACACCACUAGACAAUGAUGAGAAUUGGGACAAAUCACCUGUCAGAUGAUUGGAAGCCCUUGAAUCUUGAUGCCAAGCAGAUUUAAUUGAAUUACUUGUACAUGAAGAGGAUGUCGAGAGUGCACUUGAGAUAGCUUCGAGAAGAGCAGCUGUAAUUGUAACACCCCGUACUUAAUUACGUGCAUUAGUCAUUGUUAUAUGUGUUGGAGUAUAUGUAUUGAUCCUAAGUUAGGUAUAUAUGAGUUUAAGUAUGAGUAUUGAUUAUUUUGAGAUGGUUUCAAGUGUGUAGUUUGAUUAUAGGUGUAUAGGAAUCGACUUUAUUUAUACCGGAAUUUUCCCGUCGAUGGUUCCAUACGAAGGUUAUUGAAUAAGCUUUCCAACGAUAUAAAGAUUUCCAAAAACGGAUAAGUUUCGGAUAUAAGCGAGCUCGUUCGAAACUUUAAAACGGUGGCCGGGAUGUGAACAGUAAAAUGUGCAGGAAACUACUGAGGCCUGCCAGUUUUUUGGGUCAACUUUGAACGAUCAUAACUCCCUCAAUAUAAUGAACUGGUUGAGCUACCAUAUAUCAAAAGAAAGAUCUUUGAGUCUUCUUUCCAAUGAAAUUGGUUUCAUCCAAAUCCAACAUCUGAGUAAGGAGUUAUACUCGUUUUACUUCAGCCUCUCAAAACAGAUUUUUAGGGUCAACUUCAAACGAUCAUAACUACUUGUACAGGACGAACUGGGUGGAUUAAUUUAUAUUAAAUGAAAGACCUUUGAAUUAUCUUUCUAACGAUACCAAUUUCACCCAAAUCCGAUAUCGGAGCAAAGAGUUAUGGCCGAUUUACUUUAGCCUAUCAAAACAGUCCACCAUGGACAGAUUCGGAUUUACUUAAAUUUUUAAGGGCAAUAUGGUCAUUUUCCAUCACCUCAUGGACGAAAAUUGGUCAUUAUAUACAUAUACUUAGCCUUAUAUCCACCAUUUAUCAUCCAAAUCAUUGAAGAAUAAGAAACCCUAGCCUAAGUUCAACUCCAAUUAUCUUGUGAUUCAACCGUAGAAAAUCCAAAUUGAUUCCGUAGUUGUGUUCACCGUCUCAAGGGCUUCGAGAAGCACCCCUUAUUUGUGCCAACAGGACUUCGAAAUCAAAAGGGCCAUUUUUUUUGGUAAGGAUGUAAAUUAUGUUGGUGUUAUUUAUAUGGAUAUGUAUAUAUAUAUAUAUAUGCAUGUGAGCAUAAGAAGUAUGUUAUUUGAUUGUUGUUGAAAGAUGAUUGGAAAUGAUGUUGGAUUAUUCUUGUGCAUGGUUGGAUUAUGUUAAAUUGUGAAGGAAUUUGGGGUGAUGAUGUGGUAUUGAUGAUGUGGUAUUGAGAUGAUGAUUAUAUACAUAUACACACAUAAACCUAUUGUUCAAGUUGGUUUUUGGAAUGUUUUGCAAAUAUUGGUAGUAUGGAAUUAUGGAAGAGAAUUGUGGUGUUGGGUUGCUAAUACUAGAUGCCAAACAUUUCAUUGUAGAUAAGUGAUUUGUAAAGGCGGGAAGUUGUGUUGAAUUGGUAUCUGAAUCUACAACGAGGUAUGUAAAGCAUACUCUAACAAUGUUCUUUGGCAUGAAAACACCAAUGUUCCAUCAAGUAAGAUUCCGAGGUUGUCCAAAAACAUGUAUUGUUCUACGUUACCAACGAAGUUGUUUCCAUCCUAUAAAGUGUCAAAAUGUUCAUUGAUAUACCAAAAGGCUCUUAUUUCAUUGUUGUGAUAUUGAUGAUUCUGAAACAUAUUGUUGAUGUACCAAUGAGUCCUUAUUACAUCGUUAUUGUAUAGAAGGUCUAUUACUUGGUUCCUAUUGAUGUAUCAUUGUUUCAAGGUAUCAAAAAUGUGGUGACGACCGAAAUAACAAUCUCAAAGAUUAAUUGAACUAAGUGAUGAAAGUUCUCUCUUAUCGGGUGGUAUCCCAGGGGCAUAAGCCUAGCAUGGGUCGAUCCCUAUUUCAUGUGUUUAUGGGUGGUAUCCCAGGGGCAUAAGCCUAGCAUGGGUCGAUCCCAGUUGAUAUGUACUGGAGGCAUCCUAAUGGUCACAGUACAGUACAGUAAUGAUUACAAAGACGAUAAGAACGAAGGUAAAGUGAUUGAAUAAAUACAAUGUACAGGUUGUCACAAGUUCUAGUAAGUGUGGUCCACUCCUAUUACGACUUAUUCACUUGUUUCUGAUUUCUAUUGAGCUCCUAUAUCAUAUGUGAUUAUUUACAGCUUUACAUACUCAGUACAUAUUUCGUACUGACGUCCCUCACGGGGGACCUGCAUUUCAUGCUGCAGGCACAGGUACCUCAACUCAUACACCGCACAAGUAGGAGCCAGGUCAUACAGCUAUUGUUGGUGAGCUCCAGUUUGCUUCGGAGCUUUCCGAGUCGGUUCCUUAUGUUUUGUUAUUGUACAUGAGUCACGUGUGGGCGGGGGUUUGUCCCGACCCUAGUUAUGUCAUGUAUAUCCUAGAGGCUUUGUAGACAUAAGGAAGGGUAAAGUCAUGGAAGUUUAUAUAGUAACGUUAUAUUUGUAUAUGUGGUGGCCCCGACGGCCAAGUAUUAUAUAUAUAUAUUUGUGCGUGUUGUGCUGAUACAGGUAAUUAGACCUUUCUAUAUGCAACGAAGUGCUGUCCAAUUUUUUUGGUGACAUGUAAGUGAAAGUACAGGUAUUUGAACGGGUUCUCCCGGGCCUUCUCGGCUUCGGGUGCCAGUCCGGCCCGAUGGGAUUUUGGGGCGUGACAGUAAUAGAAUCUCAAAUUAGUUUUUCAAGAUCAUGACCAACAGAGAAGGAACCAGAUGAUGUAGUGACAUUUAUCUAGUAAGCUUGGUGAGUAGUUCGUGAAUGAUUUGGGCGACGAUAACAAUCUGAAAUAUAAUGGCCAGCAAUUUUGCAACAAGCACAAAUGUUUUUCUUCUUAGGACAAUUGGCUGCAAUAUGACCAAAGUCUUGGCAUUCAUAGCAUUGGACACUUCUCUUAGUAUUUCCUGUUGAAGCAACAGUUGUUGAUUUUCCUGCAAGUAAUGCAACGGGAGGUAAUGGUGUAGACUCCAUAGCAGUCUGAGUUCCAAGUCUUGUCUCUUCACGCAAGACGGCUGACAACACAACGUUAAGAGCAGGUGUGACUUCCCUGUUCAACAAACUGCCACGAAUCGGCUCGAAUUCAGGACGGAGUUUCAUUAAGAAUUGCACCACCCUUGUCUUCUUUCGUUCUUCCAACACCUCCUUGAGCCCUGCCUUAAAAAUAUUUUGCCCAAGAAUUUGAUCUUGUUCCAACUAGAGCAACUGCAAGCCAGCAUAAAACGAGCAAACAUUCUUGUCCCCCUGUGUGUAUUCUGCAAUGUUGCGUUCUAAUUCAAACUCUCGUGUAAGGUUGCUUUGUUGGUAGAUUUUAUGGAGAUGGGUCCACAUCUCAUAAGCCAAACUGAAAGGUCUAAGCCCCAAAACAAUAUCAGUAUGUACCGAAUUCGACAUCCAAGCGAUUACCUUCGCAUUAUUCAAUUUCCAAAGAUCCAACUCUUUUGCAUCUGUUGGUGGACGAGCAGAUCCAUCUAACAACCCAAAAAGGCCCUUGCCUUGAAUAAAAAUUCCAAAGUGGAAUUCCCAAAGAUCAAAAUUGGAACCAUCCAAUUUUGUAGAGAGCAAAUCGUGCAAAGAGAAUUGUGAAUCCAUUGAUCGAUUGAUUAUAAAAGAGGGGAAAAUAGAGAGAAGAAAAGGAACUUAAGAAGGUAGCAAAGUACUUGUGCAAAGAAUACAGAAAACACAAAAAAAAAAAAUUAGAUUGUGGCUCUUGAUACCAUGACAGAGAAACAAGAGAAACCAAGAUUUUCUGAAUAGCCACUUAUCUAAUUCCAUAAUACAUAAUGAAAUACUUAUAGCUAUACAACUGUAGGUUAGAGUUUUAUUCUAGGAAAGAAUAUAUAUUGUUAUAACUACGCAAUCAGUAACAAAAUCCUAUUCUAGGAAAGAGAAUAUUCUAUCUAUACAAUUAUACUAUUGCCUAACACAUGGUAUCUCCUUCUUUCAUCCUUAACAUCUCAAAUUCUCUUUUAAGAGUUAAGAGUUUGACAGUUUUCACUCUGUCACUUUCAUCGAACUCCUCUUUUAGCUUCUCCCAUACUUCUUUAGGUGUUUCACAAGUCAUUAUUCUUGUGAAAAUCACAUCUAAAAGUGUUGAAUGAAGACAAGUGAGAGUCUUUGGUUUCUUGGACUUUGUAUCUUCAUAAUUCUUCAUUUGUGCAACGGUUGAAUUUGGUCCCAGUGGAUGGGGGUCAUUUUUACUUUCAACUGUUUCUCAUAGACUAAGAGCUUUGAGAUAAGUCUUCAUCUUUAUCACCCAUAUAUGAUAAUUUUCUCUUGUAAACAUCGGACGGCCUGCACCCAAGAAGCUGUUGGAUCCAUGUUACUAUUGUUCGACUCUCUUUUCUUAGUAGAAUUGAAAAAAACUUAUCUUAAAGUCUUCACAGAUCCCUCAAGAAGAUUGGCUCUUGAUACCACUGUUAGAACUUGGAGCUUAAGAGAAGGAAAAGAAAAAGUUUUAGCAGUAGCUUUUCAUUCAUACAUACAUACAUCUUACAAAAGACUAUACUUAUAAUCACAUAAGUCUUACAAGACACACCUCAUAGUAUCUUACAAGACACACUAUCUCAAAAUAAGGACUACCAUUUAUUUUUUUUAAAUAAACAUAAUAUUAAAAGAAACUAUUAAAUAAAAGACUAUCUUAGAAAAAUCUCAUUUCUAACAGCCUAUAUGUAUUUUGGCUAAAAAGAAACAUCCAUAUACGGUACUUCACUUCUUCCACUUGGCGUAAAAAACUAAAGAAAUUCAAUGGUAUCCUUCGAUCUCUUUUAAUUUUUCAGUCCAUUCUCACUAAGUUAUGACCUAAUUGAGAUGUCAAUACAGAGAAAAUCAAAAAAUUCAGUCCCCUAUAUGUAUUUUGGCUAAAAGGAAACAUCCAUAUACGCUACUUCACUUCUUCCACUUGGCGUAAGAACCUAAAGAAAUUCAAUGAUUUCCUUCUAUUCUCUUUUGAUUGUUCGUCCAUUCUCACAAUUUUGAUUGAACCCUUUUGGAACAACCACUCAAAGCCAAUUAUUCUUCUACAACCACAACCUUUGGACGAGCAAUGAAUGAAUUUUCUUUUACUUUGCUCUCAACUAUGUGACAUAUUAGUCUUAAUAUAUGACAUUUUAUUUUUAAUAUAUGGCAUAUUUUUUUUAAAAUGUGACAUUCUUUUUACGUCAGAUGAUUAACUUUACACGUUUUAUUUAAGAAAUAAAUUUUCAGCUGCUUGUGUCUUACAGGAACAAAAAUUGUAUAUUUUAUUGUUAAAUUGGAACAAGAGUAAGUUUAAGUGUAGUAAUAAAAUUUUUGAAUAAAUUUAAAAGGUAAUAUAUGCGUUUAUGUUAUAAAAUAAAGAUAAAUAUCAAUAUUAAACUUUAAAGAAAUAAGAAAACUUUAAGAAAUUUUAGUAAUACUUUUAUUUUACUACUUUGAUAUGUCAAUAAAAUGUACAGAGGAUGACUAUUUAUAGAUCACCAAAUUUAAUUAUUAAGGUUGUCAAACUUGAUUUCAAGUUGGCAAUUUAGCCAACUAUUUAGGUAUUCAAAUUCAAAUUGAAUAAAUAAUUUUUGAUCUUCAAAUUCAAUUUGACUAUUAACUAUUAUCUCUAGUAAAUGACAUUUCACACGUAUAUAUGUAACAUGACAUCCAUAUUAUAUAAUAGUUUGACUUAAUUUUAAUAAGGAAGAAGAGAGUAUAUUGCAAUUGCCCAUACAACAACGUAAGCUUCACCCCUCAACUUUGCUUUAAAAAUCAAAACCCCACUCAACAUUGAACAAUAAUCAUAUUCCCCCCUUUAUCCUUUGCAUUAUCCAUUUUGCCUUUAUAAUUUUAAUCCUAUAUCUAUUUAAUACCUCUUUAUAUUAUAUUAUAUUAUAUUAUAUUAUAUUAUAUUAUAUUAUAUUAUAUGCAGAGAAUCGGGCCAAUCGUACUGAUCCAACAAUUUGUAAAAUGAUUAUUGCGGGCUUUACUGUCCAACUUUGAGGCUGGUGGGAUAAUUUCCUAGACGAUGAUAAACGCAAGGCUAUUUUUACUGCCACUAAUGAUAAACCAGAAAAAGACAAUUUAGGCCGACCGCUUCGGGCAGGACGAUCAGAUGCUGUCUAUACCCUUAUGCUUACAAUUAUUGAACAUUUUGGAGGUAGAUUUACCAAUCAGUAUGAAAACAUUAGAACUCUUCUUAAUGGUUUAAAAUGCAAACAUUUAGGAGAAUUUAGAUGGUAUAAAGACACCUUUCUUAGUAGGGUUAUGGAUUUACCCGAAAGUAAUUAUGACCAUUGGAAAGUAAAAUUCAUUGAUGGUCCUCCCCCUUUAUUUGCUGAAAGAGUUAGAAAAUCGCUUAGAGGAUCUUAUGGCGAGGUUCAGUAUUCAGGAAAAACUUAUGGUCAGCUUAUUGUAGCUUGUACUCAAGAGGGUUUAGCCCUUUGCAACGAGCUAAAAUUAGCCAGACAGAUUAAGCUUGACAAACUCAGAGAAAAAUCUCAAUUAGGAGAUUUUUGUGAACAAUUUGGUAUGGAUAAAUCUUUAGCAAGAAAAACCUAAAGAUAUUCUAAGCCUGAUAAAUCCUAUAGAAAGAAACGUUCUAGGCAUAGAACCAAAGAAGAACGUGACACAAGAAAAUCCUAUCGUAAGUCUACCAGAUUUACGAAAAAUUGAUCCAAAAGAGAAUUAGCAAAAAUCAAGUGCUAUAGGUGCAACCAAUAUGGUCAUAUAGCUCCAAACUGCAAGUUACAAAAACUCAAGUCCUUAGGACUUUCUAAGGAAGUGCAUGACCAAGUCUAUGGUUUAUUAUAUACCUCUGGUUCGGAAUCUGAUUAUGAUUCUACAUCUGAAAAUAAUUUUGAACUACCUAAUUCUGGUAGUGAACCCGAUCAGGUUAAUAAAUGCAAUGAUUGUGAUAAUGAUACUUAUAAUUGUGACGAAAUGAUGUAUAAACUUCAAGCGCGAUUUGAAGAUCUAGAUUUAAAUAUUCAAACUCUUACUGCUGAUAAUGUCCUUAAAUUGCUGAAGGAAGUUACAGAUGAAAAACUACGUGAAAAAAUCAUUAAUUUUGCUACUCAAAAAACUUCUACUAAUACUGCUAGUAUUUCUAAGGAUAAUUCUUAUGAUAAUAUUUCUAAAGAUAAUUCUUAUGAUAAUUAUCAUAUGUCUUAUUCUUUAGCUGAGGUAAAUCGACGUCUUGCGUUGAGUCAAACUUCAGGUAGAGAUACUACCUUUGAUGAUUUAAAAAUAGAAUUAGAAAAAUUAAAGAAAGAAAUUAGUUCUUUAAAACAAAAAUAGAUGAUCUCCGUCAUAGGGUUUUGAAAAUUGAAGAAAAGAUUCCUGACAUUCCUGAAAAUACUACUUCUUUUACUUCAAAAGGAAAAGAAAAGGAUUUUGAAAACUCUGAAGAUUCUGAAAUAGAUAAACUUAGUCUAAAAGAGGAUUUGAAAAAAGAUUAUUUCUUAGGUAUGAUGCAACUAGUUACUGCUCAUAAAUGGUAUAUAAAUUGCAUUAUUCCGAUUAAUAGGAAAUUUUCUAUCACUAAUAUUGCUAUGAUUAAUAGUGGUGCUAAUGCCAGCUGCAUUCAAAAAGGUUUAAUUCCAACUAGAUAUUUUGAAAAAACUACUCACAUAAUUAAGUUUGCAUCUGGUCAUAGUCUUGACAUCAACUAUAAAUUGCCAUAUACUCAUAUAUGUCGAAAUAAAGUCUACAUUCCACAUUUCUUCUUUUUGGUAAAAAAAACUAAUUAUAUCCUCCUAUUAUUUUAGGAACACCUUUUAUAAAUGCUAUUUAUCCUUAUACACAUAUCGAUGCAAAUGGUUUUAAGGCUACCUAUAAAAAUAAACAAAUCUCUUAUAAUUUUGUUACUAAUCCUGUAACAAGAGAUAUAAAUGCUCUUAUUAGUAUGAAGUAAAAGUAGAUCAAUUUCUUAUAAUUAGAAAUGAUGAGUACUAAUAUUCUUGAUACUUUAAAUUCAGUAAAGGUCCAAGAAAAAAUAAAAAUAAUUUUUAAUCAUUUGAUUGUUGAUAUUUGUGUGGAUCACCUAAAUGCUUUCUGGAACCGAAAGAAGCAUAUUGUUUCUCUUCCUCAUGAAGAUGGUUUAAGUGAAGAAAAAAUUCCCACAAAAUCUCGACCCUGUAAAAUGAAUACAACGUUAGUAGAAUUCUGUAAAAAAAAGAUUGAUAGUCUUUUACAAAAGGAUCUUAUAAAACCUUCAAAGUCCCCUUGGUCUUGUACUGUCUUUUAUGUCAAUAAUGCUGCUGAAAAAGAACGGGGUAUGCCUCGACUAGUCAUCAAUUAUAAACCACUGGAUAAAGUUUUAAAAUGGAUUAGGUAUCCUAUACCGAAUAAAAAAGACUUACUUUAUAGAUUAUAUGAUGAUAAUAUAUUUUCUAAAUUUGAUUUAAAAUCUGGUUAUUGGCAAAUUCAAAUUGAUAAAGAACAUACUUAUAGAACUAUUUUUAAUGUCCCCUUUGGACAAUAUGAAUGGAAUGGUAUGCCAUUCGGUUUAAAAAAUGCUCCUUCUGAAUUUCAAAAAAUUAUGAAUGACAUUUUCAAUCCCUAUAUGGAUUUUAUCAUUGUCUAUAUUGAUGAUAUUUUAGUAUUUUCGAAAACCCUUGAAUCACAUUUUAAACAUCUGAAUAUGUUUAAACAAAUUGUUUUACAGGAUGGUUUGGUCAUCUCCAAAUCAAAAAUAAGUUUAUUCCAGACAAAUAUUAGAUUUUUAGGACACAACAUUUGUCAAGGUACUAUUGAGCCUAUACAAAGAGCUUUAGAAUUUGCUAAAAAAAUUAUGUGAUAUUAUUACUGAUAAAAAACAGCUGCAAAGAUUCCUUGGUAGUCUUAAUUAUAUUUCUCUUUUUUAUAAAAAUCUGUCUUGAUAUUUAGUUCCUCUGUAUGAUAGACUAAAAAUGGAUUACAAAAUGCCUCAAACUCAAGUCCACACUGAUUUGGUAAAAUUAAUUAAAAAAUGAGUUCAAUCUCUUCCUUGUACAACUCUUGCAAACCCUAAUUGGUUAAAAAUUGUUGAAACCGAUGCUUCGAAUAUUGGGUAUGGCGGAAUACUUAAACAUGUUAAUCCCCAUACAAAAACAAAAUGUUUGAUUAGAUUUUAUUCUGGUAAAUGGACCGAAAGCCAGAAAAAACAUGUCACAGUAGCUCAUGAAAUGUUAACUAUUGUAAAAUAUGUUUUAAAAUUUCAAGAUGAUUUGUAUGACCAGAAAUUCAUAAUCAGAACUGAUGCUCAAUCCUUUAAAUAUAUGUUUGACAAAGACUUCAAACAUGAUACGUCUAAACUAAUCUUUGCCAGAUGGCAGACUCAAUUAGCCCGUUUUGAUUUUGAAAUUCAGUAUAAAAAGGGAAGUGGAAAUUCUUUGCCAGAUUUUCUCUCUAGAGAGUAUUUAAAAGAUCAAUGAAUUUUUAUACUUACUAUCUCUCUGACAAGGUAGUCAUCUCUAUUAUUAAAUGUCUUCCUUUAAAUGAAGAUCUUCAUUAUCUUAUAUUAGAAACUUUGAUUCGUAAAAUAAUUGAAGAAGAGUUUAUCUCUACUCACGAUGAAUUCGUUGUCGAUAAUAUCUAUUAGUUUGAUAUUGAUUUAAGUGAAUAAUCUUUGUAGGAUCAUCCAAAAAAUUCAAUAAUGAAGCUCUUCCUUCAUUUCUUCUCUCACAAAUUUUUAAUCGCUUUCAUAAAAGCAACCCCCCUGAAUGCUGACAUGCAUAUGCUUAUUCUACGAAAAGUCAUUACUAGUUUCAUUACAAAACAUACACUCUAUGAAGAUAUAUCUGAAUAUUUGGACUGGUAUGUGGAUGAAUGGAAGGAAUUUGACAGAUUCGACUUUAUUUCUGAUGCAGAAUGGAUCCUACUUGGCAAAUAGCCAAAGGAAGAGGAAGGGGUGGAAGAAGUCAAAACUCCUCAUAUCAAGGAGGAAGAACAAACCCUUUAUAUUUUGAUCGAAGAAAUUUUGCAUAUAGCUCUGCAAGUUCUAAUUUUCCUGUAUUGCAACAAAGAAAUAGGACUUUAAUUAAUUCAAAAAUUCUUCAAGAUGAAUCAUCAUCAUCAAAAACUCUGAAUAUUGGUUCUUCUGUACAUUUGAAAGAUAUUCUUGAAGACCAUCCGUUAUAUAAACAAAUGCAAUCCUAUAUAUCGGAUCAAUAAAAAAUUGCAGAUUCUUUUACAUCUAUAGUUCAAGAAAAUUCUGAAAAUAACCUGCAUAUGGAAAAUUGGAUGCUAAAGAACUUAUAUUAUAUAUUGAAAAUCAACAUAUUCCUGGUCAAGAAAAUACUGAAGAUGCAUGGUGAAUACUCAGAAAUUAUCUCACUGCCAAAGUUUAUUUCACUGGUGAAUCAUAUAAAACCCGGACUUAUUAUGAACAUAUAUUAGUUCAAACAUUCAAAUAUUAUAUUAUAUUUUAUUAUAUUAUAUAUAUAAUAGUUUUUAUCCUAAAUAUUUAUAACAUUUUAUUUAAUUUUAUUAAUAUUAAAAAUAAAAUAAUACUUUUUAUAAAUUUGUCACAAAAUCUAAUGUCAUUUUUUAAGAUCAUUAUUUUAAUAUUAUAUGUAUUAAAGAGUCGUUCGGUAUGAGGUAUAAUUAUAAUUAUAAUAAUUUGGCGAUAAAAAUUCAUGAUUAUUUAGUUAGAGGCAUUAGUUAGUCUCGAAAUUAUUUAUCUCACUAUUUAUACCACAUUAAUGGAAUAAGUUAUCACAUAUACAUGCUAAUACAAUUUAUUUUGGGAUAACUAUUCCCGAAAUAACUUGUUCCCAAUCAAGUCCCCCUAAGUGUGUAUAUAUGUGCAUACAUGCAUGUGCGUAUAUAUUUGUAUUUCACCAAUAUCUUACUACAUUCGUUUCAUAUUAUUUAACUUUUGUUCAGUGGCGGACCCAGGAUUUAAGGAUUGUAGGUGCUUAAAAAAUUAAAAAGUUAAAAAAUAAUAAUAAAUCACCUCAACAAGGUUCGAACCUGGGACGUCCCUUUAGUGGAGAAGCUUAAGAUCAACUUAAAUGCCAGUGCACCCAACCAAAUUUUAUUUUAGUGGGUGCAUUUAUAUGUUUUAUACCUAUUUUCAUAUAUUUUUUUAUGUAAUUAUACCUAUUCCGCGUCGAGUUUACUGGGUGUCGGAGCACACGCAAAAACUAGGGGCAUACAUAGGUCGGGUUGGUUCGAUUUUUAUUUAAAAUAAAUAAAUAAAUCAUGUCGGUUUAUUAAAACUAUAAAUCAAAUCAAACCAACAUAAAAUUAUUUUUUUCGAUUUAGGUUUUAGUUGGUUUUUUCGGAGUUUUUUUUUCAUUUUUUUAUAAUCUUUAGUUUUUACAAUUAUCUUGUGAUCGAAAACUAGAUCAAAUAUGUUUUCACUCAUGUGCUAANNNNNNNNNNNNNNNNNNNNNNNNNNNNNNNNNNNNNNNNNNNNNNNNNNNNNNNNNNNNNNNNNNNNNNNNNNNNNNNNNNNNNNNNNNNNNNNNNNNNNNNNNNNNNNNNNNNNNNNNNNNNNNNNNNNNNNNNNNNNNNNNNNNNNNNNNNNNNNNNNNNNNNNNNNNNNNNNNNNNNNNNNNNNNNNNNNNNNNNNNNNNNNNNNNNNNNNNNNNNNNNNNNNNNNNNNNNNNNNNNNNNNNNNNNNNNNNNNNNNNNNNNNNNNNNNNNNNNNNNNNNNNNNNNNNNNNNNNNNNNNNNNNNNNNNNNNNNNNNNNNNNNNNNNNNNNNNNNNNNNNNNNNNNNNNNNNNNNNNNNNNNNNNNNNNNNNNNNNNNNNNNNNNNNNNNNNNNNNNNNNNNNNNNNNNNNNNNNNNNNNNNNNNNNNNNNNNNNNNNNNNNNNNNNNNNNNNNNNNNNNNNNNNNNNNNNNNNNNNNNNNNNNNNNNNNNNNNNNNNNNNNNNNNNNNNNNNNNNNNNNNNNNNNNNNNNNNNNNNNNNNNNNNNNNNNNNNNNNNNNNNNNNNNNNNNNNNNNNNNNNNNNNNNNNNNNNNNNNNNNNNNNNNNNNNNNNNNNNNNNNNNNNNNNNNNNNNNNNNNNNNNNNNNNNNNNNNNNNNNNNNNNNNNNNNNNNNNNNNNNNNNNNNNNNNNNNNNNNNNNNNNNNNNNNNNNNNNNNNNNNNNNNNNNNNNNNNNNNNNNNNNNNNNNNNNNNNNNNNNNNNNNNNNNNNNNNNNNNNNNNNNNNNNNNNNNNNNNNNNNNNNNNNNNNNNNNNNNNNNNNNNNNNNNNNNNNNNNNNNNNNNNNNNNNNNNNNNNNNNNNNNNNNNNNNNNNNNNNNNNNNNNNNNNNNNNNNNNNNNNNNNNNNNNNNNNNNNNNNNNNNNNNNNNNNNNNNNNNNNNNNNNNNNNNNNNNNNNNNNNNNNNNNNNNNNNNNNNNNNNNNNNNNNNNNNNNNNNNNNUUUGUGGGGGUAUGAACAAGGGGUCUUUCUGUGUUUUUGGUAUAAGUGGUUUUUCAAAUAUCUUAUUCAUGUUAUGUUCAGAUAUCUUUGUCCACUAACUCUUUUGAUUGUGCCUGGAAUUGUAGAUUGAUAAAUGUUAUGGAUUUUAUGGAGUGUCUCAACAUCUCCUUUUAGUUCUGGAAUUUUAAUGUCUUCUGAUUGACUUAGCUCUGCACACUGGUGAGUUAUCUGGUUCAUAUCUUUAGAUUUCAGUUUAACUUCAUUAGUCUUUAGCUUUUCUAUUUCAUUACCCAUACUGUCCACUUUCAUUGAAAGCGUAGUUAGGGUUUUUAGUAUCUUUUCUAAAGCAUCAUCUUCUAUUAUAUCAGUCCGUAUAGCUUUGUCUUGAUAUGUAAUCUACAAUGACAUUCUUGUUAGUUUUGAUUACUUUAACUGUAAAUGUAAAAUUUAAUAUAUUUAAUACUAGUCUCCGAAUCUCUUUCGUUGUAGUUAACUUUUCUAUUUCGGUACCCAUACUGUCCACUUUCAUUAAAAGCGUAGUUACGGUUUUGAGUAUCUUUUCUAAAGCAUCAUCUUCUAUUAUAUCAGUCUGUGUAGCUUUGUUUUGAUAUAUAAUCUGCAAUGACAUUUUUGUUAGUACUAAUUACUUCAAUUGUAAAUGUAAAAUUUAAUAUAUUCAAUACUAGUCUCCGAAUCUCUUUUGUUGUAACUGAAUUUUGUAUUUUCUUUGUUAACCAACAACGUGCCUGUGUAUUAUAUGUUCGUACAAUAAACUUGUUAUAUACAAUAUAUGACUCAAAUGCUAAUAAGCAUUUAUAUAAUAAACAUAAUUCUUUUUUAUUUGUUUUCCAUUUUAUUUCUAUUUCAUUAAACGUACCUGAGUAGUAUCUAUAAUGAUGUUCUAAUUUUUCUUCUUCAUAUCUAUGUUUAAGUACUCUUCCAUAACUAUACUCACUUGCAUCUACUUCCACUAUAUAUGUAAAUUUUUUAUUUUCGUCUGAAAAUUGUAAUUUUGAUAAUUUUUUACAAAGUCUUUUUAUUCUCUAAACUUGUUUUUUAUCUUCUUCGUUGUAAUUGUAUUCUACAUUCUUUUUUAAUUUUUUCUGUAAUGGCUUUAGAUUUUCUGCUAAUUUUGGUAUAUAUUCCCUUACUUGGUUUACUAAUCCUAAAAAUGAUUGUAAUUUCUUUUUUGUAUCUGAUUCUUCUUUUGAAUUUAUUAUUUUUAUGAAAAACAAGAAGUAAUUAAUAAAGAAAACUUAGAAAAUACAAACACAGAAAUAAAUACUCUUAAUAAAGAAGACGAUGAAAACAUAAUACCUAGUACAUCAGAACUAAGAAAACCUGAUGCCCUUUCUAUAUAUUUUGGUGUAUUUGUUGUAUCUAUAUUAUUAUCUAAUAAUUAUUUUGACAUGUAUCCUACCCCAUAGUUGUACAAAAAAGAAAUUACAAUCAUUUUUUGUAUCUAAUUCUUCUGGGCAGGAUUUGUAAUUUCUUUUUUGUAUCUAAUCCUAAAAGAAAUUACAAUCAUUUUUAGGAUUAGUAAAAAAAAAAAAAAUUACUAAUAAUUGUAAUUUUUGUAUCUAGUUCUUUUUACUAAUUUCUAAUUCUUAAACCAAGUAAGGGAAUAUAUACCAAAAUUAGCAGAAAACCUAAAGCCAUUACAGAAAAAAUUUAAAAAGGAUGUAGAAUACAAUUACAACGAAGAAGAUAAAAAACAAGUUCAGAGAAUAAAAAUACUUUGUAAAGAAUUACCAAAAUUACAAUUUCCAGACGAAAAUAAAAAAUUUACAUAUAUAGUGGAAGUAGAUGCAAGUGAGUAUAGUUAUGGAAGAGUACUUAAACAUAGAUAUGAAGAAGAAAAAUUAGAACAUCAUUGCAGAUACCACUCAGGUACGUUUAAUGAAACAAAAAUAAAAUGAGAAAUAAAUAGAAAAGAAUUAUGUUCAUUAUAUAAAUGUUUAUUAGCAUUUGAGUCAUAUAUUGUAUAUAACAAGUUUAUUGUACGAACAUAUAAUACNNNNNNNNNNNNNNNNNNNNNNNNNNNNNNNNNNNNNNNNNNNNNNNNNNNNNNNNNNNNNNNNNNNNNNNNNNNNNNNNNNNNNNNNNNNNNNNNNNNNNNNNNNNNNNNNNNNNNNNNNNNNNNNNNNNNNNNNNNNNNNNNNNNNNNNNNNNNNNNNNNNNNNNNNNNNNNNNNNNNNNNNNNNNNNNNNNNNNNNNNNNNNNNNNNNNNNNNNNNNNNNNNNNNNNNNNNNNNNNNNNNNNNNNNNNNNNNNNNNNNNNNNNNNNNNNNNNNNNNNNNNNNNNNNNNNNNNNNNNNNNNNNNNNNNNNNNNNNNNNNNNNNNNNNNNNNNNNNNNNNNNNNNNNNNNNNNNNNNNNNNNNNNNNNNNNNNNNNNNNNNNNNNNNNNNNNNNNNNNNNNNNNNNNNNNNNNNNNNNNNNNNNNNNNNNNNNNNNNNNNNNNNNNNNNNNNNNNNNNNNNNNNNNNNNNNNNNNNNNNNNNNNNNNNNNNGAAUUAGCUAACUCAGCAGUGUCAAUCGGAAGACAUCAAAAUUUCAGAGCUAAAAGGAGAUGUUGGGACACUCCAUAAAACCUAUAACAUUUAUCAAUUUACAAUUGCAGCUACAAGCAAAUGAGUUAGUGGACAAAGAUAUCAGAACAUAACAUGAAUAAGAUAUUUGAAAAAUCAUUUAUACCAAAAACACAAAAAGACCCCCUGUUCAUAUCCCCACAAACUACCACAUACCGAGAAAGUUUAAACCAAGAUAGAAAAGCCUAUAACCACAUAACCCGAGCAUACAUAGAAAAUAUCCACAAAUACAGACUUAUCCAAACCUUAAACCCAGAGCCACAGAUAUCCAAGAACCAAACACAAACUAUAUAACCCAAAGAUUACAAGGUUACAACAAGUUAAUCGCACUACCGAAAACCAACCCUAACUUAGUUAAAACUUGUUUCAGUUAUGAAUUAUUAAAUACCGUAUACACCCAUAAAGGAAAUGAACUAACAGAUAUACCAGAAUUAUAUAGAGCAUUCACCACUUAUAAAAGAAUAACCAAAGGGAAUCUAUUUUUUAUAAAGUUUUAUACUGCACCAGCAGAGAUAUUAUAUGACGAGAUCAAACCAGUUAUACAAAUUGUAAAAAUAGGAUUAACCAGAGAUAUGAUUAUACCGGAAGAUAUUGUUCAACAGCCAGAGAUACCUAAAAUUGAGAUACCUAAUUUUUAUGCAAAUAAAUGGCUUAUUGGAAUAUCUACAAUUAUUCAAGAAUUAGCAAAUAAUUAUAUCAAUGAAAACCCUCUAUGGAGCUAUCAUUCAAGAGAUCAUCAAAUGAUUUAUUCAAAUUCAAGGGAGCUACGACAGUCAGAUAUGGAAGAAGCUAAACAAUGGAUUCUGACAUUACUCAAUCCAGAAAAACAAUCAACUGCAAGAGCAAUUAGGAAGGGAUUUAUUUCAGAAGAAUUAUUAAUAAGGUAUUGCAAGAUAAUUGGACACAAAUAUCCAAACCAUUUAUGUUCGAGAUGUAAUGGAGAAGAUAAUAUUAUCCCAGAAGUUCAACUGGAAUAGAAGAAGAUAAGGACGACAGCUGGAGAUACACAACAAAGGAUAAGAAGACACGGAGCAAUAAUAGAAAGAUGGGAAGACAAAAACAUUAAAGUAAAGAAAGCGACAUAUGGAAGAUUAAAUAACUUUUCUUGACUUAUUUACGUAAGUUAUUGUAUAGAAAACCAUUAUUAGCCAUGACUUUUUAGGACCUAUUAUAUAGGUUUUUUGACUUUUAAUAUGUAUAGUAUUAUUAGUUCUUGUCAUUUUUAGGAUAAGUAAAUUAUUACUUUAGGAUACAUGUAAAGUAGAAAAUAGUUUACGUGUUUUCUUUUUAGGCUAUAAAUAUUUCAGCCAUUCAGCAAGAUAAAGACAAUACUUCAUGAGUUGAAGCAAGUCUCCUCUUGUACACAAACAACUUUUGAAUAUUAAAUAAAAACAAGUAUAUUUCAAAAGAAAAACUAUGGAUGAACAAAGUCCAGAAUUAUCAAACCUACCAGAACAGGUAUUUUCAUUUAUGAUUAUGAAUAGCUAAAUUAAUAAAUUCCUAACAAUUAUAAUAUGAUAAAAUAAGUUCAUAUUAGUUACUAUAUAGUAGAAUUAUUCGAAGAAUAAUAUGUUACAAAGUUUAUUGGCAAAGAGGAAAAUGAGAAAAAUUCCUAAGAACUAUGCCAUCCUAAAAGUGAAACCGGUGAGGCAAGAAAGUCGUGAUAGGGGAGUAACUAGUGUAGAGGCGUUGUUUAAGGGAAAAGUAUCCAGAUUACCAUACUAAUAGUGACAGAGUAACAUAAUUAUUUAAGAAUAAUCUAGUACAUGGUAAUCUAAGAUGAUCAUAUUUUGUUAUGUAUAUGAUUGAAAGGAAUAUUUUGAAAUAGCAUCAUAUGAAAAAGAAUGCCUACCUACUUAUCCGAUGAAAUGGUAGAUAAAUUUAAAAUACUUGUUUUGUAUGUACUUAAGGAUAUAGAAAUUGUAGAUAUAAGAAAAAUCAUAUGGGAAAAAAUAUUUGACAAAUAUUUUUGGACUAGAAUAAAUUACAUACCACACCUACCUAACUACUCUUACAAAUACCUACAUACCAAAUCUACACAUCAACCACGAUAAAUUACGUAUAUUUAGAAUAUUGAAAAAUGGAUAUGAAAAAUAUACAAACUAAUGAAAACAAAUUCAGAAAAAUAUAUGAGAACUGAAGAUAUAAAAUAUAUAGAAUUCCUUACUGAAAACAUACAAGAAUUAUUAAGAUUAAAACAAACAACUAGUAAAUAUUAUGAUAAAGCAUUUAAUAACCCAUAAAACCUAAGCAUCAUAUGAACAAUAUGGCAAGCUAUAUAUCUGAUGAAAUUAAGAUACUUGUUUUAUAUAGCAUUAAAGACUUAGAAAUAGAAGAUAUAAAGAAAAUAAUAUGGGAAAAAAUAUUUAAUGAAGAAUCAUUAAGUCUAGAAUGGUUAAAAGAUAUGCGUGAUCGUAACUUAUGUUAUUCAGAUAGUUAUUACUCAGACAAUAAUAGUUAUUAUUCAGAUGGAUAUUAUACAGAUUAAAAAUGUUAGAAUAUAUUAAAAGAGUUAGAGAAAAACAAAGUUGGCUAUACGAAAAAAUUAAUUAUAGAAACCAACUUAGAAGAGGAAGAGAACAAUUAAAAGAGAGAUUAAUUUCGAUAAAUAAAACCAUGAAACAACUAGAAUUAAAAGACAGUUUAGAAUAUGAUUUAGACAUAGAAUUAUUCAAAGAAGAAAAAGACAGGAUAAUUAACGAAAUAGAUAACCUAGAAUUUAAUAUCAGAUAUAAUACAAUUAGAAUAAAUUAUUACAAAGAAAAUUGCAGUAUUACAACUAUUUUAGGAUAAAAUGAUAAACUAUGAAUAUUUAAAAUAUUGGAGACAAGAUUUGGAAGAAAUAAGAUUAACAGAAGUACUUAUGGAAGAGAAUUUAAUUGAAUAUUUUAGAACAAAUGAUAUAGAAUAGUUAGAAUACCUUCAAAAUAAUAUACAAAAACUACAAAGACUAAGAGAAAAAACUAAAGAAUAUUACAAUAAAGCUUUUAAUCAAAUAUCAUCUAAUCACCCCCCAAGAUGUAAACAUCAAUAAAAAUUAAAAUUAAAAUAGAAAUGUUUAGAGAAGUUAAGAAAUAUCCACGCACAAAUAAAAAUAGAUCCAUUAGAGUUAUAAUAGAUCUAUUUAAGUUAUCUGAGUUAUUCGCACCCUCUACAUUUGCGCAUCUCCAACUUAAAUAUGGUAUUACCAAAAAUCGUACCGAACCAAAGUUUAAUUUACCAAUUACCGAACCGAUAUUUUAUAAGUAUAGUAUGUGGUAUCUACAUUCAAAUAUUGAUUAUUCAAUUACCAAAUUCAAAAUUUGAAAAUACCGCACCGAUUACCGAACGACCACCCCUACUAUCAACAAUAGAGUCUAUUUUAAUUUAUGUGAGACAGUUUAAUUAGAAACAAAAUUUAGAGUUUAUGUGAUAUUGAAUAUUAGUAGGUGCUUGAUCAUGAAAAUAAAAAAAAAUAUUAUUCUAAUAAAUUAACUUUCAAAAAGAAAAAAAUUAUGUAGCUGUUUGAUCAUGAAAAUUAUUUUUAUUUUUUUCAAAAAAAUAUUUUAUUUUACUUUAAUAAAAAGGUGAAAACAAGGUGUAUUGGACUAUGAAAAUUUCAAAUACACUUCUUGAAUUGUAUUUAGAAAAAUGAAAACAAGUUUUACUUGUUUUUUAUACAUACACACACAUAUAAUUUCUCUAUACAUAAUUUAUACUUAUAAAGCAAUAUACUAAACUUUUAGAUUUGAUUGUAUAAGAUAAGACUAUAUACAAUAGAUUUUUGUAGCUUCGACCUUUCUUAAACUUUAUGUAUAGCGAAAGUUUGAGUACAUCAAACCGUCUAUAUCUUUAGACCUUAAUAUACAACAAUCUAUAUCUUUAGACCUUAAUAUACAACAAUCUUAUAUGGUGCCUAAAUAUUUUGUCCCUAACUCUCCAAAAGCCCAAACCAUUAGGUUACUUUUCCUGAAAACCCUAAUUAUCUACUCUUGUUGAAAUCUACAACUCUUUAUUGGACUCUCUGCCAUUUCUGAAAGGUAAAAUCUUUUGGCCAUAAUUUGGCCAUAAUAGCUCAAAUUUGAUAAUAAAAUCUAUUCACAUUGUAAACAUGUUCACAUUUUUACAUUCUUAUCCUUUUCUCCCAAUUUUAUAUUUUCUUUCUUCAUUUAUUCUUCUAGCUAUUUCCAACACUUGGGGAUUGAACAUCUAACUUGUUUACUUAUUUUUUUGUUGAUUUUGCAUUUCAAAAUAAUAUCUAUACAAACAAAGAAGAAAAACGUUAAGAUAUUUCAUUUAUUUGAAUAAUUUUUUAAAUUUAAAAUAAUAUUAAACUUAAAAAUAAUUUUAAAAUUGCUGGAUAUUUUUAGAAUGAUAUAUAAAUGACUGAAUGAUAAUUUAAAAAUAGUUAUAAACAAUUUUAUUUGACUUUGGUGGACAGUUAUUCCAUCUGGCCACAUUUUUAGAAUGAGAAAAAUAAAAUUACUUAAAAUUAUGUAAUUAGACAAGACAACAACAACAACAACAUACCAGUGUAUUCCCACCUAGUGGGGUCUAGGGAGGGUAGAGUGUAUGCAGACCAUACCACUACCUCAAGAGAAGUAGAGAGGUUGUUUCCAAUACCACUACCUCAAGAGAAGUAGAGAGGUUGUUUCCAAUAGACUCCCGGCUUAGGACCAAUAACAGUAUAACCAAUACAAAAAGUAAGCGCAUAUAAAUUAUGUAAUUAGACAAGACAAAGUAUUAAAAUUAUGUAAUUAGACAAGAUAAAUUAUUAAAAUUUCUAAUAAUAUAAAUUCACUUCAAGAAUUUAUUUCUCUGAGUUUUUAGCUAUUUAAAAUCUUGUUGUGUAUUUUUUUCAAAAAUUUUAAUUUAAAGGAUCGAGAAUGUAGUAAAUUCAACAACGUCAGGAAUGUUUCUUCAAUUAAAUUAAAAGAGAUAUCUAUAGAACAUGCCUACUAAAAAAUUUCAUAUUUUUCUAUAGGUAAUUGUUUUUAUUCUUGUAAUAUAGAACUUAAUACGUUUACUUUGAUUCAAUAAUUUGCUAAUCAUUAUAUAUAUUUGCCAUUAAUAUAACUUCUAAUAAGUAAUUUUACCAAUUAUUGAGUUUAAAUAAAUUUUAAAAAACUCUAGUUAACAUUAACUCAGGAGAGUCACACAUUGAUGUUACAGUCUUGAACCCAUAUGUUACAUUGAUUUAAAAAAUUAUGAAUCAUUACUUAUGAUUGUUAUUAUAUAUAACCUCUAUUUAAAUAAUUUUAUUAAAUAUUAUAUUUAAAUAAAUUAAAAAUAGUUUUUAAAAUUUAUUGUGUAAACAAUUCAAUAACAACAGAUAAAAUUCAAAACAUUUUAGACAUUAACAAACUAUAAAAAUCAUAAAAUUAUAUAUAGUUCAUUUGUGUCGAUCCUAGUUAACAGAAACAAAAGAGAGUCCAACAUUAAUGUGGUAGACUUGUAUUCCUAUGUCACGUCGAUUUGAUCCUGUAAAUCAUUAUUUAAUAUGACCUAUAAUUAAGUAAUUAAAUUAAUUAAUAUAUUUAUACAAAUUUAAAUUUCAUAUUUAAAUAAUCUUUAAUCUAAUUUGAAAAUAUUUCAAUAACAACACAAAAACUCAAAACACUUUAGACAUGAUAAAUAUUGACACAUUAUAGUAAACAAUAAAAACACAUAAUCUGUAAGUGUCAACCUAGUCAACAUCAAUCUAAGAGAGUCAUAUGAUGUUGUAACAAGUUGUCUAGUCCGAUUUAAUAACUUGUGAAUCGUUACUUACAUUGUUAUUAAUAUGAUCUUUAAUUAAGUAUUUUAUUAAUUGUUAUUAAUAGCUUUAGAUAAUUUUUUUUUUUAAAAUUGAUAAUAUUUCAAUCGUCAAUUUAAAAGACUUUAGAAAUAAUAGACAUCGACACAUUGAACAUAAUUGGUAUAAUAUCCUUGACUCUAGCUACGACUGUUCAAAAUCGAAUCGAAAUCAAUAAUCUGUAAUGACAUUUUGGUUAGUGAACUAGUGGUUCGACUUUUCGGAUUACCAAGUGUAAAGUAUGUGUGAUUUGUUGUUAUCAUAGUAUUUUAUAAAUUAUAUUUGAAAAUUAUAUAUAUAUAUAUAUAUUAAUUUUAUUAGUAUGUGUUUGUUGUUAUCAUAGUAUUUUAUAAAUUAUAUUUGAAAAUUAUAUAUAUAUAUAUAUAUUAAUUUUAUUUAAGCGAAAUAAUAAAAAAAUUAUUUAUUAGAGAUCAUUUAGUAAUAAAUAUAAGUAAUAAUUCAUAAUUUAUCAAAUCGUCGUAAUAUAGGGGUGAAAGAGUUAUAUGAUUAAUACUUAUACCUCUCGACAGAUGUGAACUAUAUGCAUAAUUUUUGUAAGUGUCAAUGUUUAUCAGGUUUAAGGUAUGUUGAGUUGUCGUCAUUGUGAUAUCUUAUAAAUUAUGCCUGAGAAUUAUUUAAAUAUAUAUUUUAAUUUUAUUUAACCACAUACUUAAAAAAAUAAAGAAUUAGAGAUCAUUUUAGUAACAAGGAGAGAAAGUCGGAGAAGAACAUGAGAAAAAAAUAGACAGUAAAUGUAGUGUUUGAGUUAUAGCAAAAAAUAUAUACAUUUUUGAAGAAAUAUACGUAUUUUAAUGGUAUAAGACUAUUGAUAUUCUUGCCUAAGAAUUUAUAUUUCAAUUAAAUUGUAAUAUAGGGAGUAUACAUAUUUUAAUAUUUCAAUUAAAUUGUAAUAUAGGAAGUAUAAAUAUUUUAAUAUUUUGAAUAAGAGGGCUGAAAAAGUCAAUAGUACGGAAAAGUGAACAAAUUGCUCCGAUUUUUGCGACAUACUUUAAUUAGAGUUAGAAGUUUUAAAAUUUUAAUUUAUGUAUAUGAUAAAGUUUUUUAAUAGUAUUCCAAAUUUACCCUUAAAAAAAGAUCGGUACGAAUUUCUUGACAAAUAAAUAAAUGGGACCCCAAAAAAUAAAAUAUCAUUAGAUCUCAUUCACACGAAGUCGAGAAUAUUUGAAACUAGUUUCCUACACAAUUGGAUGUACAUUUUUUUUAAUGUUACAACUGUUUACUAUUAAUAUUCUCUGUAUCAAAUUAAUUAUCUUUUCUUUUUUCUCCUUUUUAAGAACGAACAAUCGAGAUCAUUUCCUGACAACUCUGCUUCUGUUUCUUUGAUUGUGAAGAAUACCAGUCGAAGAAAUCAAUCUCUAAGGUAUGAUGGCCUUCCUUAUCUUCAUUUUCCAUUUUUGUUUUCAGUAUUGUUAGCUGUAUCACCAUUUGUUGUUUGUACUGUUGUGUUGCGUGGAAUUUUACUAAGUUUUGGGCAGCCUAAUAUACCGAAAAUCGAAAUGGAAGAAAAAACAAGUAGUCAUGGUAUUUUUUAUGCCUUUGAAAACUGGGGUGUUAUAUGGUACUACUAAUGUUGAGAGUACUGAAGAUAGUUACUAUGUGGAGAGAUAUACGGAGAGGGACCUCGUAGAGCAUUCAAUUGAUAAGAUCAAUGAUCUUUCCCCUCUACUCGAGGAAAGAUCUCGAGAAUUUCAGUUUGGGAAUGGGGUUUUGAGGAAGCAGGAAGGGAGUUUUAUGAGGAGAGUGAAGAGAAACAUGGGAAGGAGGAACUCAUGGAGAGUCAAUACUCUCUGAUUCCAACGGUUGAUGAAGCAUACACUCCUCCGCCCCUGCCUCAUUUUUUCGAUACGAAAAUGGAGGGCACAAUGCAAUGCUCGGCAAAUUACGUGCCUCUGAGUCCCAUAAGCUUCUUAGAAAGAUCAGCAGUUGUGUAUAGCAAUAGGCUUUCUAUCGUUCACGGAGAUGUUAAAUUUACUUGGAGAGAAACCUGUGAUAGGUGUCUCCGUCUUGCUUCUGCUCUUACUCAACUUGGAAUUUCUCGUGGUGGCGUCGUUGCUGCCUUGGCUCCAAAUAUUCCUGCAAUGUAUGAGCUGCACUUUGGAGUACAAAUAAAUGGCUGAGCGAGUUCUCUGUGCACUUAAUACGCGUCAUGAUUCAGCAAUGGUCUUGGUGUUACUUAGACAUUCAGAGGCCAAAAUUAUAUUAGUAGAUCACCAGUUGCUCGAUAUUGCUAAGGGUGCACUAGAAAUUCUGUCCAAGGCGAGUGCCAGGUUGCCACAUCUAAUUUUGAUCUCUUAUAAAGAGAGUUAUCCAGUACUAAUAGCUUGCCAGAAAUUCUAGAGUACUGAGUCAUUUUCAGCUACUGGAGAACCUACUUUUGAGAUAGUAUGGCCAAAUGAUGAACGGGAUGCCAUUGCUCUCAAUUAUACUUCAGGGACAACGUCAAGACCCAAAGGGGUCAUUUAUAGUCACAGAGGGGCAUAUUUUAUUUCUCUGUCUGCAGCUCUGCUCGCUGAAAUGAUUUCGAUGCCUGUCUAUUUUUGGACUCUUCCCAUGUUUCAUUGCAAUGGGUGAUGUCUUUCUUGGGCUGUGGCGGCACAAGGUGGCACGAACAUUUGCCUGAGAAGUGUCGCCGAAGAAGGGGUUUUCAACAGCAUAGUUCAGUGCUAAGUGACUAACAUGGCUGGUGCACCUACGGUUUUGACAAUGAUAAUAAAUGCACCACCGAGUGUCCAAAGACCACUUCCAAGGACAGUACAUGUUAUGACAGGUGGCGCACCACCACCUCGUUAUGUUCUACUUAAGAUGAAAGAGCUCAAUUUUAAUGUUAAUCACGGAUAUGUUCUAACAGAAACCUAUGGUCCAGCAACAUUUUGCGCUUGGAACCAGAGUGGAACUCUCUAUCACCUGAUGAGCAGGAUAAGAUUCAGGCUCGUCAAAGAGUGAACCAUAUUGGCUUGGAGGAAGUAGAUGUAAAAUAUCCUGAAUCAAUGAAGAGUGUACUCUUUGAUGUCAAAACAAAUGGGUGAGGUGAUGAUUAGAGGAAACACUGUAAUGAAUGGUUACUUAAAGGAUCUCAAAGCCACAGAAAUGCUUUUAAAGGAGGCUGGUUUCGAAGGGGGACUUGUCAGUGAAGCGUCUUGAUGGUUACAUGGAGUUAAAGGAUCGUUCAAAGGACAUUAUUAUCUCUAGUGGAGAAAAUAUUAGUACGAGCGAAGUGGAGUCGGUAAUCUUUAGCCAUCCAGCUGUUCUUGAAGCUGCUGUAGUGGGAAGACCAGAUGAUCAUUGGGGUGAAACACCUUGUGCAUUUAUUUAAAAGAAAAAAGAUGAUGCAAUGCCAUUGCUAAUGAGAUUAUCAAGCAUUGUCGUGAUCGUUUGCCGCAUUACAUGACUCCUAAGACAGUAAUUUUCGAUGAUUUGCCAAAAACUUCAAUAGGAAAGACUCAAAAAUUUGUUCUGACACAGAGUACAAAGAGCUAUCUAUACAACAACAACAACAACCCCAAUGUAUUCCCACCAAGUGGGGUCUGGGGAGGAUAAAAUGUACGCAGUCUAUACCGCUACCUUAGGUGAAGUAGAGAGGCUGUUUUUGAUAGAUCCCCGAUUCAAGAUAAAGAAUAGUUAACAAGGUCAUAGCAAUACAUGAAACGGAAUGGUUGGCAUAACCGAAAUAAGAAAUGAGAAAUAGUGACAAUAGAGCUAAGUGAGCCACGAAAAUAAGAGCAAUAUGGAAAAUUAAGAACAGGAAAUAAGAAAAGGAAAAGCAAAAGAAAAGGAGAAAAGGAUAACCCCUAGUAGUAGCAUACACUAAUGUCUCCUACCAAUGGACACAGUUGUAGGCUUACUAACCCGGCUACACCAGAGCUCCAUAACUACUAGUUACAACCCAUACACGCACUAACUUUCUACCCUUAUUGAUACAAGAAUAAUCCCGAAAAUGGAUUUAUGAGAGUGCGUGUUGGAUCCGAGACUUGGUGUGUUCAAUUGAAGAGCCAAAGAGGACCUAAUUAUGCACCCAAAACAGUCCAAACACUACACUUGGGCUACACUUGAUGGGAGCCCAUCACUUAAGGGCCUUUUGGUCAUUUUUAGCUUUCAUUUUGUAAUAACUAUAUAAGUAACAUGCUAGGGCUUCCAUUAGUAGUUUUUGGAUGAUAUUUGUAAGUCUUGUAAGACUUGAAACACCAUAGUUAGGGCUUGGAAAAGCCACCAAUCGAAACUGCGACAAGAUCUAGUGUGGAAUCACUAGUGAUUGUAAAUUGCUUGGAAACAUUGAUGCUUGGGAGAUGAAAUCCGAACUUGUAUCUUUGUAAGAGAUAGGUUUAUUGUUGUGUGUAAUGUUAAGGGUACAAGAUUGUCCAUUCUUGGGUUCUUAAGAUUAUGCCUUCAUGUGGUCUAUCUAUCUAUCCUUUUACCUUCUUGUAAUCUUGUUUAUUGUUUGUGUUGCAAUCUUAUGUUCUUGUUGUUAUUGUUAAAUCCAAAUCUUGUGUCUUCUUGUUUAUCAUCUUGAGUUCAUCUUGUUCUUGUUCUUGUUGCUGUUUUGGUGUUAAAACACAUAAUUAUAUCUUGUAUUCUUGUUGUUGGUAGUGAAUUCGAGAGUGGUCUCCAAAAAAGGUCCUCGGAUCCUUAAGAUUUGCGGACUGUUUUGGAGUUGUUUCGUGUUUCCCUUGUUGUUCUUGUAUCAUUUGGUAUCAAGCCAUCUUUGGUUUUGUUCUUACAAUACCAAUCUUGGGCUUUCUUUCUAAGAAAAUUAAAAAAAAUAAGGAAAGAAAGACGUGUUCUUGAGCUUGAGAUCUUGACUGAGAAGUUGAACUUCUUGUUGUAUCUUGGCCGAAUAUUGUGUCUAGGUCUAGGAUUUAUUUUGCUUGUGUUGUUGUUUCAAGUGUUAGUAAUCUUGUCCAUUAACACUUUGAGCAAUUUAGAUUUGAGCUUUAAAAAAAUUGAUGUUUUUGUUGUGAACAAGACCAUGGCCGUGUGUUGAAGUUGUUGUUCUUGGCCGUAUGAACUUGUUGUUCUAGUCUUGGUUGGAAGUUGUUGGUGUUGUUGUUGCUCUUGAUAAAGUUGUUGUAGAGUUCUUGACAUUCAUCACAACCUUCACCCUUGCUAAAAUCGAAAUACAACACCAAAAAGAACCUUGGCCGUGUGUUGACACUAAAAUUGGCCGUGAUGUGUGUUGAUGUUUGCCGUGGGGUGGACAUUGUUGGUCUAUUGUUGAUGUGUUCUUGAAGGUUGUUGUGGUGUUCAUAUUUUUCUUCUUCUCAUCUUACAACUUAAGACAACCAAAAGUGUAACAUAGAUUCAAAAAGGUGAACCUACUAGUUGUAAAGUUGUUUGUGAGAAGACUUGAGCCAUCACUUUCUUGACAUCUACUUUUCAACCACUUUCCUUGUUUAGGGACCUUGUUUUGUGGGAAUUGUACAAAGUCAAGUCUUGCCUUUUGAAGAUUAGGCUUAAAGGAGAUUUAAGACAUAUACUUUCCAUCCAAAACCAAUUGUUUCUAUUACAUAGUAACUAAAGUUUGUAAACAUCAACUACUGACUAAUUGUGGGGCUGUGACCAAUGGCAUGCUGCCAUGUCACCCAAUUUACUGUUCACACAAAAAUUUUAAGCUCAAAAUUUGAUCUUCUAGUUUCAUUGUGUUGUUUCUUUAGUUUCCUUUGUUGAUUCCAUUACUAACUUACAAGCUAGUUUUAGAUUGUAAGUUAGUUUUGAAACCAUCCUUCGUGUAUACGUUCCUUUGUGUGUCUUAUUAUUUUGAGUCGUUGUAAUACUUGGUCCACCUCUCACUGCCCAUGGAGUACAAGCAAGGUUACGACACUUGUGAGAUCAAAGUGAGGGGAAAAAAUCCGAGAGACAACAAUAGAGAGGGAGAGUGAGGACCAUUCUUGUACAACUAACUUAUUUGUUGUUUUGUAGGUAACUUCUUGGCUAUAAUGGAAACCAUUUUUGCCCUCCUUGAUGCUUUGUCCCGAGACCUUGCUAGGGCAAAUGCGGGUCUUGAAAAAAUUUACUCGAAUAUGGUAACUAUGAGUGAGAGGUUGGAUCUAAUGGAGAGUCGAAGGAACUUUCGUGCUUUUACUCCUAAAACUUUACUUCCAAUGACCAAUCCUCCAAGACUACCACAUAAUGCCACAAGCCAAAAGCUCCAAAUACCCCUCAGAACCGAGAACAAGAUAGACCACUUCCCCCGUAAGUUGAUCAAGUCCAACAAGGAGGACUUAGAAGCCAAUUUCCUCCUAUCCAAGCUCCACAACCGAAGCUCCACGAUACCAAAUCGAGCCUCUCAACCGAAACUUCCCUUUCCAAAAAUCGACACUUCCAAGAAGAGGAACAUAGUAGAAAGGAACAUGAGGUACAUGGAGUCUACAAUGACGCUUCUAUGAUGGAAGGAGAAUUGAGUCGGGUGAGAUUGAAGGCAAGUCUAAGAUGGAGAGAAAGCCGAGGUGCAAAAUGAAGUUGUUGACCGAGACUUGUUGUAUUCAGCUCUCGAAUUCCUCCUAUUUUGCGGACUGUUUUAUGCCGUUUCAUGUUUUUGCGGGCUGUUUUGUGCUGUGAAUUUGUGGGCAAAUUCCUCUCAAGAUGGGGAGGAUGAUACAAGAAUAAUCCCGGACAUGGAUUUAUGAGAGUGCGUGUUGGAUCCGAGACUUGGUAUGUUCAAUUGAAGAGCCAAAGAGGACCUAAUUAUGCACCCAAAACAGUCCAAACACUACACUUGGGCUACACUUGAUGGGAGCCCAUCACUUAAGGGCCUUUUGGUCAUUUUUAGCUUUCAUUUUGUAAUAACUAUAUAAGUAACAUGCUAGGGCUUCCAUUAGUAGUUUUUGGAUGAUAUUUGUAAGUCUUGUAAGACUUGAAACACCAUAGUUAGGGCUUGGAAAAGCCACCAAUCGAAACUACGACAAGAUCUAGUGUGGAAUCACUAGUGAUUGUAAAUUGCUUGGAAACAUUGAUGCUUGGGAGAUGAAAUCCGAACUUGUAUCUUUGUAAGAGAUAGGUUUAUUGUUGUGUGUAAUGUUAAGGGUACAAGAUUGUCCAUUCUUGGGUUCUUAAGAUUAUGCCUUCAUGUGGUCUAUCUAUCUAUCCUUUUACCUUCUUGUAAUCUUGUUUAUUGUUUGUGUUGCAAUCUUAUGUUCUUGUUGUUAUUGUUAAAUCCAAAUCUUGUGUCUUCUUGUUUAUCAUCUGGAGUUCAUCUUGUUCUUGUUCUUGUUGCUGUUUUGGUGUUAAAACACACAAUUAUAGCUUGUAUUCUUGUUGUUGGUAGUGAAUCCGAGAGUGGUCUCCAAAAAGGUCCUCAGAUCCUUAAGAUUUGCGGACUGUUUUGGAGUUGUUUCAUGUUUCCCUUAUUGUUCUUGUAUCACUUAUUCGCGACCUCCACAUCUUCCUAUCUAGGGUUAUGUCCUUAAAAAGCUGUAAUAGCUUCAUGUCAUGUCUAAUCACUUCUCUCCAGUAUUUCUUCGGCCUACCUCUACUCCUCCGAACACCAUUCAAAGCUAGCCUCACACUUACGAACUGGGGCAUCCGUGCUCCUCCUCAUCACAUACCUAAAUCAUCUCAGCCUUCCUUCCCGCAUCUUGUCCUUCACCAAAGCCACUUUCACCUUCUCCCGGAUAAUCUCAUUCUUAACUCCAUCUCCUCUAGUAAGUCCACACAUCCAACGCAACAUUCUCAUUUCCGCUAUUUUCAAUUUUUGAAUGUGGGAGUUUUGACUGGCACUAUAAAAACCUUUAAGCUCUUUCUCUGUCUGGCCCAGUUUCAUUGGAUAUAAUGAUGUUAUAUCCACGUGUACUUCAUCUUCAACUCCAACUCCGGGAAAAAGUAAUUUUCAUGGCUAAAUGAUUAUAUAAUGUCAAAAAUUUAGGAAGAACAGUUUUAAAAAAAGAAGAUAUUUAUUUUAUAUUUAAAAAAAAAUAGACUAAAAAAGGUUAAAAAAAAUUAUGCGCGGAAGGAUUAAGUAUACUUCUAAACUUUGCAAGAAAUAUUGACGAUACACAUGUAUAACUUUUAGGUUAUUAAAUUAAUUUUUUUGUUUUUACUUGUUUAGAGGAAAAAGGUACAUCGUUUAUGUAAAAAAAGAUAAAAAUAAUUUUUUUUCAAACAACUUAUAAAUACGUUUUUUACUUGAUUUGCAUCUUUUUACUUAAAUAUUUUUUGGUGAACAUCUUUUUAUUUUAUAUACACACACACACAUAUAUAUAGAAAAGCACUAAUUUUAUGUAGAUAAAUAGAAAAGCUCUAAUUUUAUGCAGGCAAGUGAAAAUUAACUUAUUUUUAAAAAGUAUUUUAUAGAAAAUGAUAUUUUUUCUUUUCAUAGCAAACACAUGACUAAGUUUCGAUACGUUCACCGAAAAAUAUUUAAGUAAAAAGAUGUAAAUCUAUAUGUCAAGAAAUUUUAUGAUUUAGAACUGAUACAUAAGUUGUUUUAAAAAAAAUUAUUUAUAUUUUUUUACAUAAAUGAUGUACCUCUUUUCUCUAAACAAGUAAAAACAAAAAAUGAAUUUAAUAACCUAAAAGUUAUACAUGAGUAUAGUUAAUACUAGAUAUUGAUGGCCCAUCAUGCCAGCACGAGCUCAAUAUAUGUUUUUUUUUUUUAUCUUAAUUUAAAUUAGUAAAAUCGUUUAUCUUUUUAAUUAUUGUGAUUUAUAAUAUUUUUUCUUCUGCUUCAAUUUAAAUGUUGAUGGUCUAAUUUUGAGAGUUUGUCAAGUAUUUUGUAUUUUUUAAACUUCUUAAGUUGUUAAUUAUGUCAUAUCCAAUGUCUUUUACAUUAUUUUUCAAUAAUAUAUGAAUAUUCUCCCUGACUCAAUUUAUGUGUUACAGAUAAAAUUUUGACUGUUAAUCAAUUUUUUUUUUACAUAUAUACUUUUAUUUUAAGUUUCUUAAUUAUUGUGAUUUAUAAUACUUUUUAUUUCAUUUUCAAAUAAUAUAUGUUAUUUUAUUCUUGGUCUGUCCCAUCCCAAUUUAUAUGCACUAAUGUAAUUUCGAUAGCCAAUUAAUUUUUUAAUGUUAACAUAUCAUUCUAUGUCUCUUUUACCUUUUUAUGAAAUAUUAUCAAUUUUUCAAUGCUUAGACGAUCAUAAUAAUUAAUUAGUGGUGAUAUAGUAAAAUCAUGGUGAAAGCAAUGAAACACACGUCUUAAGUGACUUGUAAUUGUUAGAGUGGGUAAAAGUCCCACAUUGGUUGGGGAAUGGACUAGUGGUUUGCUUAUAUGGACUUGGGUAAUCCUCCCCUCUUGAGCUAGCUUUUGAGGUUGAGUUAGGUCCAAGGUCCAUUCUUGACAUGGUGUCAGAGUAAGGUCCAUUCCCGUUUUGGGCUCCCGAUUCACGCGCCAGUGCUAGUUGGGCCUGGGCGUGAGGGGGUGUUAGAGUGGGUAAAAGUUCCACAUUGAUUGGGGAAUGGACUAAUGGUUUGCUUAUAUGGACUUGAGUAAUCCUCACCUCUUGAGCUAGCUUUUGAGGUUGAGUUAGGCCCAAGGUCCAUUUCUUUAUCAUGGUAUCAGAGCCAGGUCCAUUCCCGUUUUAGUCUUCCGGUCCACGCGUCAGUGCCAGUUGGGCCUGGGCGUGAGGGGGGUGUUAGAGUGGGUAAAAGUCCCACAUUGGUUGGGGAAUGGACUAGUGGUUUGCUUUUAUGGACUUGAGUAAUCCUCCCCUCUUGAACUAGCUUUUGAGGUUGAGUUAGGCCCAAGAUCCAUUCUUGACAGUAAUAACUAAUUAGAAGCGACGUAGUAAAAUUAUUAUGAAAAAUACUUGUAUAAUAAUUAAUGGUACAGUAAAAUUACGAUUGAAACAGUUAUAAAUGUCUAUUUUACUUUUUUUUCUAAUUAAAUAUUAUUAAUUUCUUAAUAUGUAAAUGACUAAUAAUAUUUAAUUAUAGAUAAUAGAGUAAAAUUACGAUAGAAGCAGUUGAAACAGAUGUCAUAAAUGUCUAUUUUAAUGUUUUAAUUAAAUAUUAUUAAUUUUUUAAUACAUAAAUGACUUAUAAUAAUUAAAUAGGGGUGGUAUAGUAAAAUUACAGUUAAAAUAGCUGAAGCAACCAUGUCGACCUCCUGCCUGCUUCUGUUUCUUAGCUUGCUCUUAUAUUAUAAGAGAAUUUCUUGCAAAGUUUAGAAGUAUAUUUAAUCAUCUCAUGCAUAAUUUUUUUAACCUUCUUUAGUCUAGUUUUUUUUUUUUUUUAAAAUAAAAUAAAUAUAUCCUUUUUUUAAAAUUGUACUUUCAAAAGUUUUGACAUAAUAAUUCUUUCUCUAUAUGACAUAAAUAUUUUCCUAUACAUUCUAACCUGUUUAACAAAAUUCGUUAGAUUCUAUUGUUAGAUGAGUUUGAUCCUGUUGUUAAGUGAUUCUAUAUGAGGAAUCUACUAUUAACUAUCUGAACUUUCACCUAAUUGGUGACGGUUUGAUUUCGCAUGUUAAAUCGUUUGACUUUAUUGUUAAGCGAAUUCUAUAUGAGGAAUCUACUGUUAGCUACUUCAAAAUUAUUUUAUUGGUGAUAGUUAGAUUUUGCAUGUUGCAAUUUUCUACCUAUUUCCUUCCCUUAUCCCCAAACUUUUUUUUACUUUUUUAAAAAUAUAAGUGGAUCCUAUAAGCUCAAUUUUCUCAAACUUAAAACUUAGAAGGUCCAUAAUUGCUUAACCUUAUAUAUCAAGGACAAAUAUAGACUUACCCCUGAAAUUAAGGAACAAAGUUAAAAUUCAUCAAAACUCAUUCUUUCUCUUUAAGAAUUGAAUUUUCCACAAACUAAAACAAAGUGAAUCUAUAUAAAAUCCCUUCUCAAAUUGUUACAAAGUUCUAUUCUUUUUGCAUCACAUAUUCUUGCCAAUACAACUUUCAAGAAACAAAGAAAGAAAAAGAGAAGUUUUUGCCAGCGUUGUACGAAUCACACUGUAUGUUUUUUCUUAUUCUUGUACAUUUAUUCAUCUUUUGUGUCUAAUCAAACAACCCCUUUUCGUUUUUUUAUGAAAUUAAAGACAUCCUUUUCGUUUCUUGCAUUGAAUUUGACUAUGAUGAUUUGAGGGAAGUAAAAAGAGGCUCUUUUAUUGGGUAUUUUUGCUUUUGUACGUAGAUUUUUGAUUGGUUUAUUCGAGCUGAGGUACCUUGGUAUGGUAGUGGUAAGGUCGUGUACAUAUUAUCCUUCCUAGAUGUCACUUGUGCUAUGUUGUUGUUGGUUCAUUACUCGUGGCAGAAUAAUGAAGUGUUUUAAUCAUCUAUUUGUGUCUAAUUAGACAACCCCUUUUCGUUUUCUUAUGAAAUUAAAGACACCCUUUUCGUUUCUUGUAUUGAAUUUGACUAUAAUGAUUUAGGUGAGUAAAUGAGGUUUUUUUAUUGGGUACUUUUUGUUUUUGUACGUGGAUUUUUUAUAUGUUUAUUUGAGAUGAGGUAUCUUUAAGGCCGUGUACUCAUCAUUCUUCCUAGACUCCACUUGUGGUAUGUUGUUGUUGGUUCAUUACUACUCUUUCUACUAGUAUAUAAAAGAGCCACUAUAGGGACCAAAGGCAAAUCUGUCAUUUAGCUCAAAUGACAAAAGAGAAACAUCCGCUCCUUGUCAAGUGUUGAGAAUUUUCUUUUCUCCAAAUAUUCAAGGCCUUCUCUUUAACUUCAUCUUUUCAUCUGGAUGUGCAGUUUUAGGUUAGUUUUUUUUUGCAAUAUUCGCCUUAAUCUACUUUCGAAUCUCUUUUAAUUUGCCUAAUUUCAUAACCUAGGUGGUUAUUGUUCUUCCUAAUCUCUUUUGAUUGGAAUGCUGGGACUGUUGUUUUAAGAUAUCGAUUUGAGCUAAAGAUCAUACAUUUUCACUAUAAGAGCUUGGUUAUUUUCCUUAAUGUUCAACAGGCUAGACACAUGUAGUAUAUAUAAUCUAAAAUAGAAUUCUAGAAAUCAAAAGCAAUAUGUAUGUUUUAAAAAUAUGUUUUCUUCUUAAAAAUAAAAUCAAAGAAAGUUCUGUAAGAAAUUGAAAGGUGACAAAUUUUUGUAUAGUUAGACCAGAAGUACAGUGGAAAUUUAAGAUUAAUAGUAUAUGAAAAUAGAAGACACCUAAAUAGAU
Molecule: long non-coding RNA, 60508 nt
Filed under: Capsicum annuum
Lineage: Eukaryota; Viridiplantae; Streptophyta; Magnoliopsida; Solanales; Solanaceae
Description: long non-coding RNA (CANN_LNC013347)
Source: RNAcentral